ACGUCCUCGACUUCGUCCUUGUCCCUCUUCCUCUUGGCCGAUACUUCUUUGCUUGAACCGCCUACUUGGCUGUUGCUCUUCAUCCAACCCUUGUAGAUAUUGAAACAAAGGUAGCCAUCCAUUGCAACGUACUGGAUGUGGUCUAUAUCUAGUACAUUCCGCUGCCAUGAAACGUGUAUGGAGGUUUCUCCAGUUUACCGUACGAAGGAUGAACCAUGGCUCCUGCCAGGGUCAACAUUGAAGGCUGACGAGAGGGCACCAGCCGAUUCUUCUGGAGGUCGAAGGGGUUUCCUACAACGAGGCCUAUCCGACGCAGGACUUCUUUGUCAUUCUUAAAGUCUACAGUAACGAAUUUGACUGUUUUGUCCUCGAGGAAGUUCUUAAAAUACUGGCACUCAACGUCGGCAUGGCAUAUGUGGUAGACCAAGCAAACGUUAUGUACGCAAACCUGGAUCACGGCGGGCUUCUUCCUCUCUUCGUCCUUUAGAUCCUUCUCUCGUCCCAUGACUGUGGUGUACUCAACAUCUAGCCCAGCGACCCACUCAUCAUGUGAGUUUUCGAACAUGCGUCUGAAGCGAGAAAGGCAUCCUUUCACCGUCGCGGAAGUACGGGUGUAGAUGACGUCGAACUCAUCGCCGGUGAUGGUUCUAACCUUGUACUCACCGCCGAUCGGGGAGAUUUGGGACGGCAUGGAUUUGGGAGGAGGGUUAGGAUUAGUGGAACUGCCGUAAUGUGAAUGGACGGGACGACUAGGAGCAAACCGCCGUAGUAUUAAAGGACGUGCGGGGACGAGUAGGAGCGAACUGCCAGCGUGCGAACGAUAGGGUAGUGGCUUUCCAUUCUCCCAUGAUACGGGCUUCCGAGAGCCCUUGGAUCUGAGAUCGAAUGGUUGCAUGGCGUGAUUCUAGACCAGUGGGUGAAUAUCCUAUCCUGGAGGGUUAUUCUUAAAAUUUUCAACAACUUAGCAUGCGACCGUUUGAUCUCAAAUCCAAGGGCUGCCAGCAGCCCAUAUCAUGGUCGCGCCUACCACGACUGUCGCGCCGCUCGCACGGUCGCACCCUUGGAGAUUUAACACGGUGCGUUAGGCUAUCUGAUGUUGGCAUGUCAUACAUAGUCAUCACUUAGUCACUCAUACUACAACAAGGUUGGCUAUAAGUGUAUUUUUUUACUCCUCUCUAUCUCUUUAUUCAUACUCCCUCCGUCCCAUAAUAUAAGAACGUUUUUAACACUAGUAUAGUGUCAAAAACGUUCUUAUAUAAUGGGACACAGGGAGUACUAGUAUUUAUUGCAUUUGCAAAGGAGUGACCUCUUCCAAUGAAAUGGUGUUGCUAAGUUUGCUUCAUUUAAUUAGCUAUAGACUCAAAAUUGUUUUUUCACCUAGGUACACGCGCUUAGCACCGUUUCUUCCUUGGGUCACCAAACUAGACUCUCUCUUCUUGAUUAACUUGCCACAUUAGACUUUAUGCCUAUGUGGCAAGCUUAAGCACCUGUAGGAGCAAGUAAGUACAAUAGUGCGCUUUACAUGGCAUUUUUGCAUAUGUGGAGGAAAGAGAGGCAAGGAAAAAGUGGAGAAGUGGGCUCUCAUGCAAGAGCCAGCCUCUACUACUACAUGGUUGAGCAUUGGGAGAGGCACUUGUAUGGAGGUGGUCAGGAAUCGGGAGACUCACGCCGGUCGUAGCGCCGCAGUUAAAAUGAUAAUGGCAAGUCAAAUCAUGGGGCCCCACCUAUCCAGCAGUAACUCGCUGUCAAAUCACAUAGCCAUACAUUUGCAGCAGCCUACUCCCUCAUCUUCUCGCGUCUCUGUCGAACCGACUAGGCGGAACUGCCCCGCCUACUAUGACACUCCAAAAUUUUAAUUCGGUUUUUUAUCAAAAACCUUGUGGUUUUCUUUGAAAAGAGGCCAUUUAAAUUUUUCUUUCAGAAAACCUUCCUCUUAAAAACUUCCUUUGCUUGGCAAGGAUUUUAUUUUUUCAAACUUUGGUGUUUGAUCUUUUGAAACUUCUUCUCUGUUGGUUCUCUCUCAAAUUUAUUUUGGGAGUUUAAUCUUUUUCUUUUAAAAUGAAACUCUAUGAAAAACUUGGGAUUUUCAUAUCUUGAAAACCACCCAUGACUUUGCAUUUUUGCCCAUGUGAUAAAACCCCUCCAAAACCUCCCCUACUCCUUGUGAUCAACCUAAGUUCUCUGUCCCAACUAAUCCAAGCAAGUUUUGGAUUUUAUUCUAAUUAUUUUUCCUCUCAAAUCAAUUCUGAAAAUUAUCUGGAGCCUGAGUGAUUUUCAAAGCAAGUACCCUUUUGCAUUUGAGUUUUGACCUCAAACCAACUCUCCUGGUUAGUCCUUUGUACCCACAACUCAGAACCAUCUUGAUCCACUCCUCUUUUCAAAUUUUUCAAAAUUCAGUCUCUGCAAGUUUGGACCAGAUUUGCCAAAUUUGAUGAAAUUCAUAUCUACACUCCUCCACAAAUUCCACCAAAAUUCAGGCAGCCUACUUGAGCAAUGAGAAGCCACUCCAUCAAAAAUCAGCUCAAGGAAAAAUCACCAGAGGCCAAAUUCAUUCUGUCGAACACCUUGCAUGCACUGCUGCUGUUCAAAAUUCAGAAAAAUUCAGUUUCAGUGUCGUUUUCGUCCGUCAGUUUCUAUCACGCGUAGACAGUGCGCUUGGCUCGAUGCUCGUAGCCCCUCCCUCUUGUCCGGAGCUUCACACGCGUGCGUGGAGCCUUCCUGGCAUCGGUGGCGCGCUGGCCCGCCCUCACCGGCGUCUUUUGCAGCAUCGGGACCUCCCGUGGCGGCCGACAGAAGGCACACCACGGCAGAACGCCGUUAAGCGCCGCCCAAAGCCCCUUGGCUCUCCGCGUGUCCCUGCUGUGCCAGCGCACGCCCGUGGCACCGUCGCCGUGGCCCGGCAAGCACGGAACGUGCUCCCUGCCGCCGACGGGCCGCGCCACCCCCGUUCCGUCGAGCUCGCCCAUAACACCAAAUCCCAGCCCGUUUAGCACCUAAAUGGGACCGGUGGACCUCAACGACGAAGCCCAAGCCCCUACUCCCACUGCACAUCCCCGGCACCGCCGUAAUCACUCGCCGGAGAUCCUCGUUCACGGCAACCGCCUCGGGCCGCCUAUAAAAAGGGCCCCCGAGCUCACCCUCGUGCACGCAGCAUCACCACUCCUCACCAACGCCACGCCAGGCCACUAGGACGACCUCAAGGAGGUCUCCUCCCCCAACUCCGGCCGCCCCGAUCCGCCUUGGCCUCCACCACGAUUCGCUCCGGUGAGGCCAUCUCCGGCGCCCAAACCCCGUCCGUUACCCUCUCUAGCUACCAGGAGCCUAACCCCCCUCUUCAAUUUGACCUCUGCAGCUCUCUCCGACGAGUCCCUCGACCACCCGAGCCACCGUCCGUCGGAGCAAAGCUCGCCGUCGACGUGGUACUCGCCGGCGACCACCACCACCACCAACCGACUCGGAAUGGCGCCCUAAGCACGGAGGUACCCUCCGAUCCCCCUGCCUCGCCGUGGAUCGCUGCCGGCGACCACCGCGGCUCUCGGGCGCCGACGAGCUUCGUUCCCCCCCCCCUUUUUGAAGUUUAAAGCUGACGAGUGGGACCCCACCGUCAGCCUCUCUGCUCUCUCUAUUGAAACGUUUUCUGGAAGCACCUUCGGGCAAAGUACGUUUUCCCUUGGGGCUGGCGUAGUUUCUGCCGAAGCGUUUCUGUUUUUAUAAGCUAGCCCCUGGAAACUUUCUGUUUCAUUACAGAUGAGUCCCUGGGCAAAAACCCUUAUAACUUUUAAACAGAAAAGUAUUUUUGAUUGAUUCUUUUUCUGUUCUCUUUAAAAUUUUGUCUAGUUUUUUAUCAGAUUUAUUUGAAAAAUAUUUGGUAUACUUUUUGUGCACCCCUUGGUAUUUACGACAGCGCACGUAUUUUCUUUAUACCGUAGAUACCGAAGGAGGUGACGGAGCCGCGAACUUCACCGAGCUAGGCUCCGACUACUCUGAACCAGGCAAGCAUGUUUGAACUUUUGAUAUGAUGAGUGUCUUGGCAUGUUUUGCAUUUAGUUAGUUUCAUAGCAUGUUGAGAAGCAUAUCGAUGAACGUUAUUUUAUGCGAUAAUGAGGUAAGUGAGUUCGAUGAUCCAUAAGUGGAUGGAUGUGAGUAUGAAUGGCCAUGUGUUGGCAUGAGGAUGGGUGAGAUGGCAGUGUUGUAGCAUGCGAGUCUUAUGCCAGACUAUGUGACUUCAGUGUCAAACCGUAUCGGUCCAGUUCCUCUCAUUUCCUUCCCUGUACUACCACAUGUUUUCCGCAAGGAAUAUGGUUUAGUAAGUUGCAAACCGCUUUUCUGGUACACACCAAAAGGAGAGGCCGUGAUGAUGGUUCCAUGGCCCUGGAUUAAAGCCAGUCAUCCGGUCAGGGGGCAUCGGUGUUUCCGGUUGGGACCGAGAGGGGGGCACCCCUUAGAGCGCGCGUAUAUAAAUUUGAUCCCAUGCUAUUCGAGAUUGUGAUCUCCCCAUCUCAAAAGUUUUUCUUGGAUGAUGUCUAGGGUGAUUCCUAGCAUCGAGAGGUAGGAUGGGUGUGUACUGGUUAGCUGUGUUUUCUUCCGAAAUACCGUAAACGGAACUAGUCCUUCGUGACUACAGAAAUCCGUUGGCUGUGGGAAAAUUUUGUACAAACUCUGCAGAGUCAUAUAUUCCUCCAAAUCAUCUAUUCCAUGUCCAAAUUUGUAUUAUCUUAUCCUAAUCAAAAUGUCAGUUUUGAUGGAAGAGACUCUGGUGAUUCGCAUGAGUGUUAAUUCCGGUUAAAUGAUUAUUCCUGUGGAUGGACUAACCCAUUUAUUCUUAUGAAUGAAAUGUUUAUUAUGAGUAUAUUUACUUGUGAAUAAAAGCCCUUUCUGCGAUGUCGCUCAGACGUCCGACUGUGGCAUUGUUGUAUUUUAUUUUCCUUUAAAGCCCUUUCUGCGAUGUCGCUCAGACGUCCGACUAUGGUAUUGUUGUAUUUUACUUUCUGUUAAAGCCCUUUCUGUGAUGUCGCCCCGAUGUCCGACUAUGGCAUUUCUUUUAAAGCCCUUUCUGUGAUGUCGCCCCGACGUCCAACCGUGGCAUUUCUUUUAAAGCCCUUUCUGUGAUGUCGCCCUGACGUCCGACCGUGGCAUUUCUUUUAAAGCCCUUUCUGUGAUGUCGCCCCAACAUCCGACUGUGGUAUUUCUUUUAAAUCCCUUUAUGUGGUGUCGCUAAGACGCCCGACUGUGGCAUCAUUUCCUUAUAUUUAUUUGUUCACCUUUCGAGGCGUCGCUUCAGACACCCGAUCGGUAGUUAUUUAUGUUUUGUUGGGAUUUCAGGCGGACUACCGCCGUUUCCCUUUUACUUACCUUGUUAUGCUAAUUUUUGAAUGUACAUUGGUGAAUUAUUCAUGACGCAUCCAUGCAUGCAUUUGUUAUAUCUUACGUCCGAACUGUCUUGCGAGUACUUUCAAAGUACUCACUGGCUUGUUGAUUUGGCCAGAUGCUGACGAAGGCGAUCUCAUGGAUGAAGAGUUUGAUAGCGAGUCCGACACCUAGAGGAGUCCCAGUCAGUCUCGUGCGACCCUGGAUUUGGUCACUGUUUUAUAUCCGCUUCCGCUACCAAAUAAAUUCAUCGAGCCUCACCUCGACGCUCGAUGAGAUGACAGACUUAGAGUCUUGUAUUUCUCUCCCCGCUGUGUUUUUCCACCACCGCCCUAUCCUCGAGUCAGUAGUAUGCCUCCACACCACUGUGUCAUGUCCGCCAUUAUGUAUAAUUAUUGGCGUGCUUGUAAUAAUUUGGUUGAGCAACCGUAGUUCGACCCUGUAAUAUAUUUUAUGCUACUGGCUUAUUGUAUCAAGAAUUUGUCUACCAGUGAGGAGGAUUUCUCUCAUACUGGGCUCAAAAGAUUGGUUUCUCAAUAAAUAUUUUUAUUGGAAAACCGGUCGUGACAAGCUUGGUACCAGAGCCAGGGUGACUGUAGGAAGCCACUAGGUGCGAUCGCUAAUUGGUUAUUAGCAUGAUAGAGCUAGGUUAUAUUUUUGCAAUUGUAGUCAUUUUCUGUCAGUCAGCAUGAAUUUAUGAUCUGACCAUGCAGAAUUUUUGCCUACUUUUGUAGAUGGCCGACAACAGCUGCGAGUCUCAGACCUUCGCCAACGUGCCCGAUGGGUUCGUCAAGCUUCUUUCCUUCAUCGUUCAGGUCGCGAUGGGGCCAUCUGUGCGCCCAGUCUUCACACUCUGCCAGCACCGAGACAACGACAGUCUGACUAUGCACCAGGCCGCGGUGCAGUUCAAGGGAGGGCGUGGUGAGUUACGCCGCUUCCGGUUCGUGGGAAGAGCCAUGCCUAUGGAGAGGCAUGCUAUGCAGAUGGCAGCCCGCGAGGCGAUAGCUCGUCUCAGGGAUGUCCUUCCCGUGAUGAAGACUCGUCGUUACCGUUAUCUUCCGUGCCAUGUGCCUUACACCUGUCACUAUGCAUACUCCUGCCCCGGAGGAGAACGAGACGAGGCUUUUGAGAUGCUCAUUGAGUAUCUCCGGGCCCUGGAGGCAGCCUUCGACAACCUGGUGGACGACUUCGUAGCUACCCGCAUGGACUCAGUUCAUGGCUGUGCUGCCAACAGGAGGGAGCUCCUACCCAUCGCACCGCCACUGACUUUGGUCUCGUCCUCAGCAUCUUUUACGCCUACUCGUCGCCUGCCUUCUACCGAAGAAUUCAACCAAGUCAUUGCACCCACUUCAGCGCGCACUGCACCACCCUUCGCGCCCACUCCUGUACGUGUUGCUCCGCCCCAGGCAACCGCUCCGUCCACUCUGCGCAACACUACACGUAUGGAGCCCAUUAGCGAGGAGGAAGUCGAGUCCCCAACCUCGCUACGCCUCGCUCUCGGCAGGGCAAAGGAGGUCGUCAACAUCUCUGCCUGAGUACGCUUAGCUGCCAUGUAAUGUACCGCUUUGUAAGAUAUGUACAUAGGUUGUGAGAAGUAGCCUGUUUGCGCAUCAUGUAGGAUCUGGAGAAGUGCACUAGCCUAAAUAACAUGUCAGGAUUAUGUACGCAUAUCCUGAGUGAUGUAUUGUAUAAUUGCCGCCCGCGUGUAAGAUAUGCAAUGAGCAGUCCUUCUCCGUGCGCGAGUCGAUUUGUUCUUCUUAAGUAAGCUGGGUUAUUUAGUUUUAUUUGCCAUCUUUAUGCAUUUAUGGAUUUGUUUUUGCGACUCUUUCCGCUUUUCUUAUGAGUUUUACAAAAAAAUAUUUUCCCCAGAGUGAAAAAUGUCUCGUCCUUGGACUCGCUCCAUGCCAAUUCCACCAGAGGAAAAUUAUGAUGCACCACCCAGCAACGAGUUCACUCAGGGACAGUCAAACCAACAGGGCAGUGAAUCGGCACUUUCACAAAUGUGCCGCCUUUAUGAGCAGAGUCAGCAACAACAUCGGGAAAUGAUGAACCAAGUCAUCAACAUGGGAAAUCAUCAUGGACAGUAUCAGCAGCAUUCCAAGUUAUCUGAGCUACAGAAGACACGUCCUCAAACAUUUUCUCACACUGACAAACCUCUUGAAGCCGAGGACUGGCUUCGAGAUAUGGAGAGAAAAUUAAUUAUUGCAAAAUGUUCAGACCCCGAGAAGGUAUUGUAUGCUCCACACUAUCUCACAGGAGCAGCCGCAUCGUGGUGGGAGAAUUUUCUGCACAUGCAUCCCAACGAAAAUGACAUAACCUGGGAUGAUUUCAAGGAAGGUUUCCGUGGUGCACACAUUCCUAAGAGUAUUAUGAAAAUCAAGAAGAGAGAAUUCGAUGACCUCAAACAAAGGAACAUGACAGUGUCAGAUUACAACAGUCAAUUUACUCUAUUGUCCCGCUACGCCAAUGAAGAGCGUAUGACUGAAAUCAAGAAGAUGGAGAAAUUCCUUGACGGUCUGGCGCCCGCGCUUAAAUGCCAACUGGUCGUGCACACUUUUCCUGAUUUUAAAACACUGGUAGACAAAGCCAUUACUCUGGAAAAUGAGAGACGCAGUCUUGAAGAUAUCCGCAAGCGAAAAAGGGACCAGACUAAUCAUGCUCGCAAUCACCGAAGCAAGACAGAUUUUCAAAAGGGUGGGACACACAAAUUCUCAUCCAAUGUCUCACGCCCAAUCAAGAAUUUUCAUGCAAGGGACAAGGAAUUCACCUAUCUCCCCGGCGUUACUUGUUACGCUUGUGGAGAAGAAGGGCACUAUGCCAAACAGUGCCCCAAGCCAAGGAAUUCAACCCCAAAGCCGAACAACGGCAACAAUUCCGCGCCCAAGCGAAACAAUUUCAAUCCCAACAAUAACCACAGGAAGGGUCAUCUGAACCACGUAACCAAAGAGGAGGCACAAAAUGCUCCGGAUAUCGUACUCGGUACGUUUCCUGUCAACACAAUACCUGCAAUGGUUUUGUUUGAUUCUGGAGCUUCUCACUCUUUCAUUUCGAAAAGUUUUGCUUUGCAAAAUAAUUUUUCGAUGCUUCCCCUGGAGAAAUCCAUGACCAUCAAGUCCCCUGGGAUUCAGCAAGUUACUCAGAAUUACUGUCAGAAUGUGGUCAUUGAGUUCGAAGGAUUGGAGUUUCACGCAAAUCUUAUUGUGUUGGAAAAUAAAGGACUGGAUGUCAUCCUAGGGAUGGAUUGGCUAACCACCAAUAAGGGUUUUAUCGACUGUUUCAACAGGACCGUAAUUCUCACACACCACCAAGGGGAGAUAAUAAGAGUAUCAGCCAAGGAAGGAAAAAUACCCCAGCAAUCGAGAUUAAAUAAGGUGGACGUUUCUGAGCUAAACAAGGUUCCAGUAGUGUGUGAAUUUCCAGAUGUAUUCCCUGAAGAGCUACCAGGCAUGCCACCAGACCGAGAAAUAGAAUUCCGCAUUGAGCUAGCACCAGGAACCACUCCCAUAUACAAGAAACCAUAUAGAAUGGCACCAUCCGAGUUGAUCGAGUUGAAGAAGCAAAUAAAGGAAUUACUGGAAAAGGGAUACAUUUGAGCCAGCUCCUCACCUUGGGGAUCACCAAUUUUAUUUGCCAAAAAGAAGGAUGGAACGCUGAGAUUGUGUAUUGACUAUCAAGCACUUAACAUGGUCACAGUCAAAAACAAAUACCCGAUGCCAAGGAUAAACGAUUUGUUUGAUCAACUCGCUCAGGCCAAGGUAUUCUCAAAAAUUGACUUAAGGUCAGGAUACCAUCAAUUGAAGGUACGAACAGAAGAUAUCCCCAAAACAGCCUUCACCUCCAGAUAUGGACUGUACGAGUUCACAGUGAUGCCAUUUGGAUUAACUAACGCCCCAGCAUAUUUUGUUCACCUCAUGAACACAGUAUUUAUGAAGUUUAUGGACAAGUUCGUCGUGGUAUUCAUCGACGAUAUUCUGGUAUACUCCAAGACACCAGAAGAGCAUGCAGAACAUCUCAGGAUUGUGCUAGGAGAGCUAAGAAAACACCAAUUGUAUGCCAAGUUCAGCAAGUGCGAAUUUUGGCUAAGACAAGUAGGCUUUCUAGGCCACGUGCUGACCCAAGACGGUAUCGCAGUGGACCCAGAGAAAGUCAAGGCCGUACUUGGCUGGAAGUCACCAGCCAGCGUAACGGACAUACGGAGUUUCUUGGGAAUGGCAGGAUAUUACCGCAGAUUUAUUGAAGGAUUUUCCACCAUAGCCAAGCCUAUGACGCAGUUACUCAAGAAAGAUAAGAAGUUUGAAUGGACAGAAACCUGCGAGAAAAGUUUCCAAGAACUAAAACGGAAGUUAACGACAGCACCAGUAUUAAUUGUCCCCGACAUACACAAGAAUUUUGAAGUAUAUUGUGACGCGUCCAGAAAGGGUCUCGGAUGCGUGUUGAUGCAGGAAGGCAAGGUUGUCGCCUACGCUUCAAGGCAACUUCGCAAGCAUGAGGAAAAUUAUCCCACUCAUGACUUAGAAAUGGCAGCAGUUAUUCAUGCACUCAAGGAAUGGAGGCAUUUCUUACUUGGGAAUCAAUGUGAAAUAUAUACGGAUCACAAAAGUCUCAAAUAUAUUUUCACACAGCCAGAACUAAACUUACGACAACGACAUUGGUUGGAGUUAGUAAAGGAUUAUGAUGUUGGUAUCCAUUACCAUCCAGGGAAAGCAAAUGUAGUGGCCGAUGCCCUUAGUCGGAACCCCAGCUCCGACAAAAACUAUCUGCACAGCUUGAGGCCUGAAUUCCAUCAAGAAUUUGCCAAGCUCAACUUGAUAAUGGUAGCAGAAGGCACCAUAUCAAACUUGGAAAUACAACCCAACCUUGUGGAGAAAAUUAAAGAAGCUCAGCCCGGUCACACCAGCAUCGAAGGCAUCAAAAGGAAGUUGAGUAUGGGCAAGGCCUCGGAAUUCGUCAUAGACAAAGAAGGAAUAUUAUGGUACGGAGAAAGGCUCUGCGUGCCAAACAUAGAAGACCUUAAACAACAAAUUUUAGCUGAAGCACACACCACUCCAUAUUCAAUCCACCCUGGAGGAACCAAAAUGUAUAAAGAUAUUCAGGAAAGAUUUUGGUAGCACGGUAUGAAGAGGGACAUAGCCGCCUUCAUUGCAUGUUGCGACUCAUGUCAACGCAUAAAAGCUGAGCAUCAGAGACCAACCGGACUACUGCAACCUAACAAAAUACCUGAGUGGAAAUGGGAUGAAAUAGGGAUGGAUUCUAUUGUCGGACUACCUCGGUCAUGACACGGGAAUGAUGCCAUAUGGGUCAUCACUGACAGGUUGACCAAAGUGGCACACUUUAUUCCAGUGAAGACAACCUACAACACUCAGAGGCUUGCCAGGAUUUAUCUUUCCCGCAUAGUUUGUCUGCACGGUGUCCCGAAGACUAUAAUAUCCGACAGAGGCACUCAGUUCGUCUCAAGAUUUUGGGAGCAUUUACAACAGGCUCUGGGAACCCAACUAGCCUUCAGUACCGCAUACCACCCACAGACUGAUGGACAAACAGAACGCGUAAACCAGGUUUUAGAAGACAUGCUGAGAGCAUGUGUCCUCACAUAUGGAACCAGUUGGGAAGAAAGCCUGCCAUACGCCGAGUUCACGUAUAACAAUAACUACCAGGCCAGCCUACAAAUGGCACCAUUUGAGGCUUUAUACGGACGAAGAUGUCGUACCCCGUUAAAUUGGUCAGAGACCGGGGACAGCCGCAUCUUUGGACCAGACAUGCUCAGAGAAGCCGAGGAAAUGGUCAAGCUAAUCAGAGACCGACUUAAGACCGCUCAAAGUCGACAGAAGAGUUAUUAUGAUCAGAAACAUCGUAGGGUCAGCUUUGAACCCGGUGAGUUCGUAUACCUGAGAGUGUCCCCUAUGAGAGGAUUGCAACGGUUUAAGAUUAAAGGAAAGUUAGCACCAAGAUUCAUUGGACCAUUCUGCAUAGUGGCACGAAGAGGCACUGUAGCCUACCAGCUAGACUUACCCGAAGACUUGUCCGACAUUCACGACGUGUUCCACGUCUCUCAGUUAAGGAAGUGCGUAAGCAACCCAGAGAAACAAGUAUCCCAUGAAAACAUUGACGUGCAGCCAGACCUCACUUAUCGGGAACGUCCCGUAAGAAUAUUAGAGGAGUCUGAAAGGAGGACCCGACAGAAGACCAUCAAGUUUUUCAAAGUCCAGUGGAGCAAUCACACCGACAGUGAAGCAACUUGGGAAAGCGAGGAUUUUCUUCGGACAGAGCAUCCACAUUUAUUUAAGGAUCAGCUGAAAUCUCGGGGACGAGAUUUUUCCUAAGGGGGUAGGAGUUGUGACACUCCAAAAUUUUAAUUUGGUUUUUUAUCAAAAACCUUGUGGUUUUCUUUGAAAAGAGGCCAUUUAAAUUUUUCUUUCAGAAAACCUUCCUCUUAAAAACUUCCUUUGCUUGGCAAGGAUUUUAUUUUUUCAAACUUUGGUGUUUGAUCUUUUGAAACUUCUUCUCUGUUGGUUCUCUCUCAAAUUUAUUUUGGGAGUUUAAUCUUUUUCUUUUAAAAUAAAACUCUAUGAAAAACUUGGGAUUUUCAUAUCUUGAAAACCACCCAUGACUUUGCAUUUUUGCCCAUGUGAUAAAACCCCUCCAAAACCUCCCCUACUCCUUGUGAUCAACCUAAGUUCUCCGUCCCAACUAAUCCAAGCAAGUUUUGGAUUUUAUUCUAAUUAUUUUUCCUCUCAAAUCAAUUCUGAAAAUUAUCUGGAGCCUGAGUGAUUUUCAAAGCAAGUACCCUUUUGCAUUUGAGUUUUAACCUCAAACCAACUCUCCUAGUUAGUCCUUUGUACCCACAACUCAGAACCAUCUUGAUCCACUCCUCCUCUUUUCAAAUUUUUCAAAAUUCAGUCUCUGCAAGUUUGGACCAGAUUUGCCAAAUUUGAUGAAAUUCAUAUCUACACUCCUCCAAAAAUUCCACCAAAAUUCAGGCAGCCUACUUGAGCAAUGAGAAGCCACUCCACCAAAAAUCAGCUCAAGGAAAAAUCACCAGAGGCCAAAUUCAUUCUGUCGAACACCUUGCAUGCACUGCUGCUGUUCAAAAUUCAGAAAAAUUCAGUUUCAGUGUCGUUUUCGUCCGUCAGUUUCUAUCACGCGUAGACAGUGCGCUUGGCUCGAUGCUCGUAGCCCCUCCCUCUUGUCUGGAGCGUCACACGCGUGUGUGGAGCCUUCCUGGCGUCGGUGGCGCGCUGGCCCGCCCUCGCGGUGUCUUUUGCGGCGUCGGGACCUCCCGUGGCGGCCGACAGAAGGCACACCACGGCAGAACGCCGUUCAGCGCUGCCCAAAGCCCCUUGGCUCUCCGCGUGUCCCUGCCGUGCCAGCGCACGCCCGUGGCACCGUCGCCGUGGCCCGGCAAGCACGGAACAUGCUCCCUGCCGCCGACGGGCCGCGCCACCCCCGUUCCGUCGAGCUCGCCCAUAACACCAAAUCCCAGCCCGUUUAGCACCUAAAUGGGACCGGUGGACCUCAACGACGAAGCCCAAGCCCCUAAUCCCACUAAACAUCCCCAGCACCGCCGUAAUCACUCGCCGGAGAUCCCCGUUCACGGCAACCGCCUCGGGCCGCCUAUAAAAAGGGCCCCCGAGCUCACCCUCGUGCACGCAGCAUCACCACUCCUCACCAACGCCACGCCAGGCCACUAGGAGGACCUCAAGGAGGUCUCCUCCCCCAACUCUGGCCGCCCCGAUCCGCCUCGGCCUCCACCAUGAUUCGCUCCGGUGAGGCCAUCUCCGGCGCCCAAACCCCGCCCGUUACCCUCUCUAGCUACCAGGAGCCUAACCCCCCUCUUCAAUUUGACCUCUGCAGCCCUCUCCGACGAGUCCCUCGACCACCCGAGCCGCCGUCCACCGGAGCAAAGCUCGCCGUCGACGUGGUACUCGCCGGCGACCACCACCACCACCAACCGACGCGGAAUGGCGCCCUGAGCACGGAGGUACCCUCCGAUCCCCCUGCCUCGCCGUGGAUCGCCGUCGGCGACCACCGCGGCUCUCGGGCGCCGACGAGCUUCGUCCCCCCCCUUUUUGAAGUUUAAACCUGACGAGUGGGACCCCACCGUCAGCCUCUCUGCUCUCUCUAUUGAAACGUUUUCUGGAAGCGCCUUCGGGCAAAGUACAUUUUCCCUUGGGGCUGGCGUAGUUUCUGCCGAAGCAUUUCUGUUUUUAUAAGCUAGCCCCUGGAAACUUUCUGUUUCAUUACAGACGAGUCCCUGGGCAAAAACCCUUAUAACUUUUAAACAGAAAAGAAUUUUUGAUUGAUUCUUUUUCUGCUCUCUUUAAAAUUUUGUCUAGUUUUUUAUCAGAUUUAUUUGAAAAAUAUUUGGUAUACUUUUUGUGCACCCCUUGGUAUUUACGACAGCGCACGUAUUUUCUUUAUACCGUAGAUACCGAAGGAGGUGACGGAGCCGCGAACUUCACCGAGCUAGGCUCCGACUACUCUGAACCAGGCAAGCAUGUUUGAACUUUUGAUAUGAUGAGUGUCUUGGCAUGUUUUGCAUUUAGUUAGUUUCAUAGCAUGUUGAGAAGCAUAUCGAUGAACGUUAUUUUAUGCGAUAAUGAGGUAAGUGAGUUCGAUGAUCCAUAAGUGGAUGGAUGUGAGUAUGAAUGGCCAUGUGUUGGCAUGAGGAUGGGUGAGAUGGCAGUGUUGUAGCAUGCCAGUCUUAUACCAGACUAUGUGACUUCAGUGUCAAACCGUAUCAGUCCAGUUCCUCUCAUUUCCUUCCCUAUACUACCACAUGUUUUCCACAAGGAAUAUUGUUUAGUAAGUUGCAAACCGCUUUUCUGGUACACACCAAAAGGAGAGGCCGUGAUGAUGGUUCCAUGGCCCUGGAUUAAAGCCAAUCAUCCGGUUAGGGGGCAUGGGUGUUUCCGGUUGGGACCGAGAGGGGGGCACCCCUUAGAGCGCGCGUAUAUAAAUUUGAUCCCAUGCUAUUCGAGAUUGUGAUCUCCCCGUCUCAAAAGUUUUUCUUGGACGAUGUCUAGGGUGAUUCCUAGCAUCGAGAGGUAGGAUGGGUGUGUACUGGUUAGCUGUGUUUUCUUCCGAAAUACCGUAAACGGAACUAGUCCUUCAUGACUACGGAAAUCCGUUGGCUGUGGGAAAAUUUUGUACAAACUCUGCAGAGUCAUAUAUUCCUCCAAAUCAUCUAUUCCAUGUCCAAAUUCGUAUUAUCUUAUCCUAAUCAAAAUGUCAGUUUUGAUGGCAGAGACUCCGGUGAUUCGCAUGAGUGCUAAUUCCGGUUAAAUGAUUAUUCCUAUGGAUGGACUAACCCAUUUAUUCUUAUGAAUGAAAUGUUUAUUAUGAGUAUAUUUACUUGUGAAUAAAAGCCCUUUCUGCGAUGUCGCUCAGAGGUCCGACUGUGGCAUUGUUGUAUUUUAUUUUCCUUUAAAGCCCUUUCUGCGAUGUCGCUCAGACGUCCGACUAUGGUAUUGUUGUAUUUUACUUUCUGUUAAAGCCCUUUCUGUGAUGUCGCCCCGACGUCCGACUGUGGCAUUUCUUUUAAAGCCCUUUCUGUGAUGUCGCCCCGAUGUCCGACCGUGGCAUUUCUUUUAAAGCCCUUUCUGUGAUGUCGCCCUGACGUCUGACCGUGGCAUUUCUUUAAAGCCCUUUCUGUGAUGUCGCCCCGACAUCCGACUGUGGUAUUUCUUUUAAAGCCCUUUAUGUGGUGUCGCUAAGACGCCCGACUGUGGCAUCAUUUCCUUAUAUUUAUUUGUUCACCUUUCGAGGCGUCGCUUCAGACACCCUAUCGGUAGUUAUUUAUGUUUUGUUGGGAUUUCAGGCGGACUACCGCCGUUUCCCUUUUACUUACCUUGUUAUGCUAAUUUUUGAAUGUACAUUGGUGAAUUAUUCAUGACGCAUCCAUGCAUGCAUUUGUUAUAUCUUACGUCCGAACUGUCUUGCGAGUACUUUCAAAGUACUCACUGGCUUGUUGAUUUGGCCAGAUGCUGACGAAGGCGAUCUCAUGGAUGAAGAGUUUGAUAGCGAGUCCGACACCUAGAGGAGUCCCAGUCAGUCUCGUGCGACCCUGGAUUUGGUCACUGUUUUAUAUCCGCUUCCGCUACCAAAUAAAUUCAUCGAGCCUCACCUCGAUGCUCGAUGAGAUGACAGACUUAGAGUCUUGUAUUUCUCUCCCCGCUGUGUUUUUCCACCACCUCCCUAUCCUCGAGUCAGUAGUAUGCCUCCACACCACUGUGUCAUGUCUGCCAUUAUGUAUAAUUAUUGGCGUGCUUGUAAUAAUUUGGUUGAGCAACCGUAGUUCGACCCUGUAAUAUAUUUUAUGCUACUGGCUUAUUGUAUCAAGAAUUUGUCUACCAGUGAGGAGGAUUUCUCUCAUACUGGGCUCAAAAGAUUGGUUUCUCAAUAAAUAUUUUUAUUGGAAAACCGGUCGUGACACCUACCGCGCAGGAAAAGCCCCGCCCUCGACUUUUAAAUACAACUACUCCCUCCAUAUAGGUGAGUAAGUCAUCUUACGAAAACUAAAUAAUCCCAAAAUACUAAGGCGCAGUGCAUUAACUUCUACCUUGUUUCUUGUUUCUUCACAUAUCAACCAAUAAGUAUCCAAUGAUAUACUUUUUGUGACAUAGUAACUCAUAUUUAGUUAGUCAAAUGGAUGACCUAGAACUACGUGAAGGCCCUAUAAACCGAGACGCCUACAAAUAAAAAAAACGAGACGAAGAGGGUAGUUCAGCAUGUAUCUUUUUAGAUCAAUAUAGUCGGGAUUCACCAAGGAGCAAAACCAAGUGGUAGGCUGCUCCUGUCGUGUUGGCGUAGCAACUCAAGCAGGGUCAGUCCGCACACAAAAUGGAGACACACUUAAUAGGACCCCUUUGGCAGACAUGUGGCUCAUCCACCGUCUUGUUCCACGUGCGAUGCACCAAAUUACAGUUCGGAGCAGCGGUUGCAAUUGGAGGCACCCCGGUCGUAGCGCCGCAGUAGUAGAAAAUGAGCGAUGAGGGGUCAAAUCACAAAGCCCCACCUUUCCCGCAUUAAGCUGGACGGACGAAGCAACCAUCAUUUCACUCUAGCGCGCAAGAGCAUAAAGAAAAGAGAAACAAUGAUGCGUGCGGCAGCUACCUAGGGCACCCUAGGGUAGGGAUCUCCACUAUAGAUCCUUUUUUUUGAAAGCGCCUCCACUACAAAUCGGCUUCUCCAUCAUCCUCUUGAAGAAAACCGAUGAUGAGUGCGGCGGUAGGGUUUGUAGGAGUACUACGGUGUGCGGGGCCACGUCGUAGUAAACGGGUUCGAGUCGACGCCUUAAAUAUGUGUGGGCCGCUUGGUUUUACGGGAACGAGGCGGCAUUUUGGGUUCGGGGACCAGUGGAGAUAUAGCACGUACAAAAAAUUGUGGACGUAGGUUCGAUCGAAAGGCAAUGAUGCAUGGGCCCUGCAUUUUGAUAUACCCGGGGCCGCGUGAAAUUUGCUACUCUACUCAAAACUAGUAAGGUACACAUGUAUUGAACGCAUGAGAUAUCAAAACCAAAUUAUGAAUAAAUACACACUAUAGCAUGUAAAGCUUUGAGUCAUAUAUGCAUGAUGUAGAUGUUCGUUUAGUUCUUAUGGUUCAUCUCAUUCAAAAUCAAUUAGUUUUAUGAAAAUGUUAAGAUUCAUGGGGUUGUGCAUUGUAAAUCAUAAAGUAAAAAACAAAUAAUGGCAAUUCAUUUAGAAAAAAAUAAUCAAUUAUGAUACAGAAGAUUCUAGAACAAAGGAGAAGUGCUUGUGUUUUGAGGUUUGUGCAUUAUGCUUAAGUUCAACCAUGGAGUCUUCUAAAUUGUACAUGUGGCAGAUCUGGUGGAAUGUUGAUGAUAUCCAACAGCCAGUAGUGCUCGGAUUGGCCCAUCUCUGCAUUGUCGGGUUAGCUUCAUCCAACGACCAUCUUUCAAAGUUAUUGGCACACUAUAUAGUUCUUGUGCCAUAGUUGCAUGUUUUGGAAAAAAGAUACUAGUGGGUUGUACUAUCUAUUUAGGAAUAGAAGAUGUAUACAUGGAAGUUGUAGGGAAAGAGAUGACAUGGAGGAUCUCAAUUCCUAUGAGUAGGGAUUGGAAAAGAGAUGUCAUUUGGUUCACAUCAUAGGAACUUUUCUAUUGAAUCUAGAGAUGACAUGUAUCUCAAUUCCUAUGAGGAGGGAUUAGUAAAGAGAUGUAAUUUGGUUCAUAUCAUAGGAACUUUUCUAUUGAAUAUACGCUAAUGUUUAUUUUCCUUUGAAAUUAAGGGAGUAUAGGAAUCCAUUCAUAUGAACCAAGUGGCUCUAAAGCUAUAGAAAUGAUAUCUUGUUUAUUUCCUUUGAAAUGUAGAGUAUAUGAAUCUAUUCCUAUGAACCAAUUGGCUCUAAAGGAAAAAAAUCCUAUAAAAAUCAUAUCAUAUAAAGUUCCUAUGAUAUUCCUCGACACUAAAGGAUGGUUGAAAUUGCUGCGGGUGAUACGAUGGUCUUUCUUUGUAGACUCCUCACCCAUCUUUAUAGUUACCUCUUGAAGAUGAAUGAAAUGAUAUAUAUACAGGGUAUUCUACAUGUGCAAUUCGGUAAACGAAAACUCGGUAAAAGUUUGCGAGGUUCUAAUUUUCAAUGAAGUUCUAAUUUUCAAUAAAUCUAUAUGCACUGCAUUUUAGAACGGAGGGAGCAUAUGGUAGUUGCUAACACUCACGUGGAAGAUUUGUGUGUAGGAGGAGUGGUUGUUCUGUUAAAUGACAUGGCAAAAUUGACACUGUCGGAUGCCGAUCUAACGGUUCUUACGGCGUUCGUCAGGAAAAGGCUUGUGGCGAACGUUUGUCGGAUAAUGAUUUACGGAUAAAUGCAUUGCAUUGAUACGUGCCCCCCUCUCUCUCACGCACACGCACCCUCACGAGUCACAACUCUCCCGAUUCCUCUCGCAGACUCGCACGUGGCACCCAUCGUCUAUCUGCAGGUAGACGUCAUGCACAUAUGUGCUCUUCACACCCUACCCUUAGAACUUCUAAAAACAAAAGACGGCGCACACAUUUUAUUUUAGCUCACAAGUCACACAGUUAUAUUAUUACUCUUGCGGCGAACGUUCUUUGGGCAUAGUAUAUAUUGUAUUCUCACGAAGAGAAGCGGUGCAGACACGCACUAGUUCUCUCACACCCACUCGCAGGUACACGUAGGAGCGCAUUUUUUUGAAGCCGGUACAACAAAAUCACUCCACUAUAUAUAAAAGCAGGAGCCUUAGCGCUUGCUUUACUAGGGUUCCUCUCGUUCACUCUCUCAUGCUCUCCAGAUCUAAGCAAGACAUAGGUGGCCACACUCUCUCUCUCUCUCAGCUCACGGCUGGUCACAAAUCCGGCCGGACAACCUCGACCGGGGCAGGGGUGUAGGUGCAUCGUUCACGCUGUCGUUGGCGGGAAGGGAGGAGACCAACGGCUGCCAACGCGUCCCGAUCGGCGGCCGUGCCGUUCUCUCCGAGAGAGUGCCGGCUCGGGAGGGCCUCCGACCUCUUCUUCCUCCCUGCGGUAUUGUGGCCAAGAUGCGGCCUCCCGACGCCAUCUUUUCCACAUGCCGAUGACCCUCAGGUAUAUUUUCCUUCGAAACCUGCCUUCCUCUACUGCCCCACCUCUUCCCCCUUCAUGUGGAUCCUUUUCUACUUCCGUCGGCUGUUCCAAAGCCACCUAGACUUCUACUAGUAUUAGAAGUAAAGCUAGUUCAUACAGUCAACUCAAAGCGUUGGUUCAAACAGGGAAGAAAGUGGGAAAGCUGUAGCAUGAAUCUAGGACUUGGUUCUAAGAGGAAACGGGGGAAAGUAGUAAUAUCUGUCACUGUUUAAAUAACCGUAUUUCGUAUUUGCGCAAACAGGGAUGUCUGUCUCCAUAUCGUUUCGGGAUGUCCGUCUCUGUAGUUUCUAUCCGCGCAAUCAAAAGCACACACCUCAGUUUUAGUACAACUACGCAAAAUGAGAUGGCUAUCCCUCGUUGCCAUCAUCUAACCUCCCGUCUUCAAGGUAUCCCUACAUCGGUAGUAACUAAGGUAGAAUGACCAAUGCAAUCUAAAAGAAGCUGAUUCAUACGUUUUACUUCCUGAUUGCAGUGCAGGGAUGAGCGAAAACAACUGCAUCCUAGUCCGGAAUGCACUUUCUACCAGUUCAUCCAUGGACCGAGGACUAGCUGGCACGGCUGCACGGCGGUUUUUUGGACAGGUGCGCGGACAAGGGGCAUUGUGGUCUGCUUAUUUCUGCAAAUAGCAUUGCUUAAAUUUAGUGGAAUGCACAAUAAUUUCACCUGGUCAGUACACUGCAUGGUUCAGUUCAGCAUUCCAGCUGAGACCACAAUUAUAAUUGGUUAUUCUGGAAUGAGAGAACCUAACCCUGGAUGGUGGCAACAAGAAAAAACCAGAGUGAACUCCAGGAAAUUUAAGCCUGCCGGGAGGCCCUUUGCUCAGAGAAGCCUUGCUUGUUUUUUCCUGAUUUGUAAACCUUCUCACAACUUUGUCUUUUGCUGUGAACUAGUAUAUGUUUGUUAUGUUCUAUGAAUCAUUGAGAUGUAUAAAAUUGCUUAACUUAUGCUUUUCAAGAUUUUUAUGAAGACGAGUUUAAUGUGAGUGUUCCACAUGAGCGCAGACUAGCGUUGAACGUUUGGAAUUUAUUACAUUGUGGCCUCAAUUAACUGCAUGAACCACUGUAACAAGAUACAUAGUUUCUUAUAUGUCAGAUAGCAGAUUGUUGAUUGUUAGCUGGUCGAUAGCCUAGUGUUGAAGCGAGCUGAGCCAAUGUGCCGUGUUUUGCACAACUGCUUACAAGUGGGGUAGCACCAACAAUGUUUACAACUACUUAUGUAUACAUCAGCGCAUGGUUCUCGAAUGAGUGCUCUAUUUCAUCAAAACACACACUACUCGUAUGAUAAACCGUGACAACUUAUGUCUUACCAUGCCAUAUUCAUGAAAAAACUAGUAAGGACGCAUCUGUUUCGGCAACAAUUACGAUGGUUCUCACAUGAUUCACGGGCACACAAAAGUAGCAGCAGUUCCCAUAGACGGAUUCAAACAGAGUACUAGCCCCAGAGGGGUCGAUAACAGGCAAGGUUCGGAUAAUUAGAUACAAUCCAUACUACUAUUAAACACUAGCUGGGGCAACUAUUUCAUGCCUCGAUCUAAUUUGGGCUGGACACAAGACGGACCUUGCCAUGAACAUCAUCGAGGACGUCCCGCAGCAGCUCAAUCCCGUGAACCUUCAUCAAGACAACCUUGUGGCCUUGCCACUGAUAAACUUGUUUGUGGAGGCAUGCCAUGUCAUCUUCCUGCGUAAGCUUGACAAGAACAGUAUGCCUCACAAACGAAGGAGUAGCUUUGAACUUCUUGUGCUUCAGUACACCCUGGACAACACGCCUGACAACAGUGAGGCUAGAAUACACCUCUUCAUUGGUCUAACCGCAAAUGGCUUCCAGGAUCCAACAGCCUAAGAACUCUGUUUUCCCAGUGCGUAUAUUCAGGUCGUCCGCCUCAUAGCUUGUGACAUGCACAACCACACAAUCCUUGUCUGCAUCAGGGCUCUAAUUGAAACAGAAACAAAUUCUGAAUUACUUUUCAGUAUAAGAAACACAAGUUAUUUAAACCACUAUGUAUAGAAUGGCAUCGAAGCUAAUAAAAUUUUGCAUUAUCAAUCACCACAUACUUCCUUUUCUAAAAAAAAAUCACCACAUACUUAGAUGAAAAACCACAAUCGAGAUCGGCAAAGAAGGAAAUCACCUUGGGCAGNNNNNNNNNNNNNNNNNNNNNNNNNNNNNNNNNNNNNNNNNNNNNNNNNNNNNNNNNNNNNNNNNNNNNNNNNNNNNNNNNNNNNNNNNNNNNNNNNNNNNNNNNNNNNNNNNNNNNNNNNNNNNNNNNNNNNNNNNNNNNNNNNNNNNNNNNNNNNNNNNNNNNNNNNNNNNNNNNNNNNNNNNNNNNNNNNNNNNNNNNNNNNNNNNNNNNNNNNNNNNNNNNNNNNNNNNNNNNNNNNNNNNNNNNNNNNNNNNNNNNNNNNNNNNNNNNNNNNNNNNNNNNNNNNNNNNNNNNNNNNNNNNNNNNNNNNNNNNNNNNNNNNNNNNNGGGGGGGGGGCAAAUCCUCGAAGGGGAAAACUGCUCCUGCAGUGCCACGGGGGCUGUAACCUCAAACGGGGCAUUGACCGUCUCAGUAGUGGCCGUGAGUGUAUCUGGGGUCGGCUCGGUAGUUGCCUCCAUCUUCUUGGAGCUCUUUGUCUCGUGGGGAUCAGCCUCCCGCGUCUGCUCCAAUAUCGGCAGAUCUUUGCCUAGUUCUCCUUGGUCCAUCAUGAAACUGACGAAUACUAGGAGAACACUGAAAGGAAAACACAAUCACAAUGACAAUGAAACAAAAAAAGAGUGGGGAUCGGUUAUUGCUUUGCAAAAGUUCUUUUUUUUUCUGAACGAAAAUAUACCAACAUCACGGAUCCGCUUACCUUCCCUUCGUCGGGAGAGAAGAACAGUGGCAGAUGCAAGUGUUGCCUUUCUUGAAGACGGUGAGGGAGAAGGGGAUUCAGCAAAGAGUGAAAUGAUGGUUGCUUUGUCCGUCAAACUUAAACUGCAGGAAGGUGGGGUUUUGUGAUACGACGGCUCGUUACUGCCGCGCUACAACCGGGUGACUCUCCGCCUGCAUACUGCCUUCUAAUUUGGUGGAUGGCAUUUGGGCCCGCGCUGCAUGGCCUGCAUGUCGGUGAACAAAAGUAUAAUGGCAUUCAGUAGAGGGAGACGUUUCAAUGACCUAGGAGGAGCCAGAAGCGGUAGAGUGUCUCCAUUGUACUAGUAGUAAUUGUUUUUCUGGGUAGCUGUAGAGUGUCUCCACUGUACUAGUAGUAAUUGUUUCUCUGGGCCCAAGACAAAACAGCCAAUCCACACUAGUAAAUAGUAAAAUCAAUUCAAAAGGCGCUACCCACACCCAGCACACCACCCCCCCCCCAAAAAAAACCUGGGUGCUCUUCUUCCUCCUCGCUCCCACCCACCUCACGUCAGCUCACUCCACUCGUACCCCCAGCUCACUCCUAUAGAAAACCCCCAGCUCCCGUUCUUCUUUGCUCGCACUACAACUAGGCUCGUCAUUCGUUACUCUGCUCAAAUCCAUGAGCGCGACGCGACACCCUCGAGGAAAAUGGAGUUGGCUGACCCCAGCGCCAAGAAGAUGAGGCUCCCGCCAGCGGCGACGCCUGUUGUAGAUCCCACACCUGGCAGCGCGGGGAAAAGCGGUGACCCCGCCCCCACCGGAUCCCAGGAACCCGUAGAAUCUCGGGUGGACCGCAUCGGCGAUCUCCCGGACGCCGUCCUUGGGGAGAUCAUCUCGCUUCUCCCCACCAAGGAUUGCUGCCGCACCCAAGUGCUGUCAAGUCGGUGGUGCCCUCUAUGGCGCGCCGUGCCCCUUAAUCAUGACUGUAGUCAUCUAUCUCUCUUCAAUGAUUUUGAAAUCCCCAGAGCCAUCAUCUCCUCCCACCAGGGCUCCGUUCAAAGCCUCUACAUCCCGUCAUGCUACCUGAGCAAGCAUACCAUGCCCUGCACGGUGGACGCCUGGCUGAAAUCCCCUGAAUUCACAGAACUACAGCUGCUUGAGUUCUACUAUUCCCCUGGAAAUCACAUACCACAUACUGAACGCCAUGAACUUGUGCCCUCAGCACCGAUGUCCAUUUUGCGGUUUUCCUCCUCUCUCCACACCGCCACCUUUGCGCUGUGCUACCUACCAGACAAUCUGGUACUAAACCUUCGACUCCCAUUUCUCAAGAAACUUUCACUUGUGCGGGUUCGUAUAUCGGAGGCCUCAUUGCACAUCAUCAUCCACUCUAGUUGCCCUGCGCUGGAGUGCUUGGUGCUUGUUUUCACAGUUAGAAUCGGUUUUCUCCAAAUAAAGUCGCCUAACCUUGUAAGAAUUGGAAUUUGUUUUGACGGAAGGUAGCUCAUCAUCCAAGAUGCCCCUUCACUUCAAAGGUUGAUCCUUGAUUCUAGUUAUUUACCGUUGCAAAUAACCGUCCUCUCUGCGCCUAAACUGGAGACCUUGGGUGUAAUACAUGAUCUAUGUGCUCAUUUCAAUAUGGUGUUUGGCUCCACAGUUCUUCAGGUACUUUAUAUUAUCAUCUACACUUGUAACCAUAAGCUGCAUUUUAAAUUUCUGCGCAUAAUUUAUAUAUCAUCUUGGAGUACACAUUUUGUACUAAUAUUAUGUUCUAUGCUCAAUGAAGAGUUUCUCCAUGGAUGGCCUAUCAAUGGUGUUGGAUUAUGUCAAGAUCUUAUAUAUCCAAAUGAAUAGUUUUGAUCUGAACAAGAUUAUUGGCUUGCUGCAAUGCUUUCCAUGUCUGGAGAACUUGUAUAUAAAGGUGAUAAUUUCACGCACAUUGGAAGCCCGCAUAUAGUGUACUAGAAUUAACCGUUCAGCCGUUGCUCUUUCGACACUCUUCUUUUAGACCUUAACUAUUUUCAAUCUUCAUGUCUAUUUAGGCAACAUGACGGGGUAAGAAAGUUAUAACCAAUCUGUGGAUUCAUAAGCAUCGGGAUUUUCUCACUUCUCAUGAGAUUCGAUGGAAGACAAUAACGCUAGAAUGAUAUGUAGCCAACCGUGCAAACACAAGAUUUGUCACAUUCUUCCUGCUGAAUGCGAGGUUACUAUUGUCCAUCAGGCUUAAGUUUAUCAGCAGCAUGGUUUUGACGGAUGGGUUUGUCGAAGAGAAAAAAAAGGAGUUUCAGGUGGGCAAAAGAGCUUCUGAACGUGCCGGGCUUCUAUUUACAACAUGUUGUGGUCAUAAUCCAGUAAAUUUUACGACCCAGGAUGUUCAUUCUAUGGACCUGACCGAUCCAUUUGACUGUGACUGCCAAAAACAGUGCUAAAGUUAGAUGUUGUUGCCCUUUUCAUUCUGUUUUUUUAAACCUGAUGAACAAUCAACCCUCGUGCUUUUGUACAGUUUGUAAGCUGGAGUUAGAUGUUCCUGCCCUUUUCAACUCGGUCGUGACUGUCAUAUUUUCUUUGAAACAAGGCAAAUGGCUUGCCAUUCGUUUAAUUUAGAGUGAAAUGUUGUAACAAAUCACAACCAAGGGAAAUAACAUCACUCACGCCGGCUGCUUGAGCUCACUGUGCAUUACAGAAGCCAUGUGAUUAGCCCCCACCAACACCCACAAACUUAUUUCGAACUAGCACAUGAAAUGGGCUGUAAAUUUUCAUAAGAAAGGCUGCAUGACCGUGAUAGAUUUGUAUUAUGACAUUUGGGACCCACGAGGAAAUAGCCUAUCUUAGGUGGUGUUGACUUACUAGCCAGUCAACAAACGAUUCUGCCUUCCAGUCGUUGGAUUGACAUCCAACAUCUGUCGUGUAUCUUCUAUCUCUUGUCUUCUUCUUCCUCCAGCCGCCCAAACCAAACCACCCCGUCGGCUCCGCCUGCUCCCGCCUCCCAUGGCUGGCUGACCCUCCGCCGCCCUACCAUACGUACCCUCCAACAUUGGCCAGUCCCUCCCUCUAUUCCCCCACAUGUCCUGUUAUUCUCCGGCGAUGUCAGCCCCAUCACGCACCCGUGCCCGAACCAGUCAACCCUCGUACUCCCCUCCGCCUGCGACUGGACCGACGCAUUGAUGUCUACUACACAACCUUCUUCUUGUAGACGUUGUUGGGCCUGCAAGUGCACAUGUUUGUAGGACAGUAGCAAAUUUCCCUCAAGUGGAUAACCUAAGGUUUAUCAAUCCGUAGGAGGCGUAGGAUGAAGAUGGUCUCUCUCAAGCAACCCUGCAACCAAAUAACAAAGAGUCUCUUGUGUCCCCAACACACCCAAUACAAUGGUAAAUUGUAUAGGUGCACUAGUUCAGCGAAGAGAUAGUGAUACAAGUGCAAAAUAGAUAGUAGAUAUAGGUUUUUGUAAUCUCAAAAUAUAAAAACAGCAAGGUAGCAAGUGGUAAAAGUGAGCAUAAACGGUAUUGCAAUGAUAGGAAACAAGGCCUAGGGUUCAUACUUUCACUAGUGUAAGUUCUCUCAACAAUAAUAACAUAGAUAGAACAUAUGACAAGCCCUCAACAUGCGACAAAGAGUCACUCCAAAGACACUAAUAGCGGAGAACAAACAUAGAGAUUAUGGUCGGGUACGAAACCACCACAAAGCUAUUCUUUCGGAUCGAUCUAUAAAAGAGUUCGUACUAGAAUAACACCUUAAGAUACAAAUAAACCAAAACCCUAAUGUCACCUAGAUACUCCAUUGUCACCUCAAGUAUCCGUGGGCAUGAUUAUACGAUAUGCAUCACACAAUCUCAGAUUCAUCCAACCAACAUAAAAGUACUUCAAAGAGUGCCCCAAAGCUACUACCGGAGAGUCAAGAACGUGUGCCAACCCCUAUGCAUAGGUUCCCAAGUGUCACGAAACCGGCAAGUUGAUCACCAAAACAUACAUCAAGUGGAUCAAUAGAAUAACCCAUUGUCACCACGGUUAUCCCACGCAAGACAUACAUCAAGUGUUCAUAAAAGACUCAAUCCGAUAAGAUAACUUCAAAAGGGGAAACUCAAUUCAUCACAAGAGAGUAGAGGGGGAGAAACAUCAUAAGAUCCAACUACAAUAGCAAAGCUCGGGAUACAUCAAGAUCGUGCAAUAGAAGAACACGAGAGAGAACACGAGAGAGAACACGAGAGAGAGAGAUCAAACACAUAGCUACUGGUACAUACCCUCAGCCCCGAGGGUGAACUACUCCCUCCUCGUCAUGGAUAGCGCCGGGAUGAUGAAGAUGGCCACCGGAGAUGGAUCCCCCCUCCGGCAGGGUACCGGAAAGGGGUCCCGAUUGGUUUUUGGUGGUUCUGGAGGCUUGCGGCGGCGGAACUCCCGAUCUAUCUUCUAUUCUGGAAGUUUUAGGGUACGUAGGUAUAUAUGGGUGCAGGGAGAACGUCGGUGGAGCUACGGGGCCCCCACGAGGCAGGGGGGCGCGCCCAGGGGGGAGGGCGCGCCCCCACCCUCGUGAGCACCUCCCGUAUCUUCUGACGUGGGGUCCAAGUCCAUCAGGUGGGUUUCCUUCCAAAAAUAACUUCUCCAGUUGAUUUUGUUCCGUUUUGACUCCGUCUGAUAUUCCUUUUCCUCGAAACACUGAAAUAGGCAUAAAACAACAAAUCUGGGCUGGGCCUCCGGUUAAUAGGUUAGUCCCAAAAAUAAUAUAAAAGUGGAUAAUAAAGCCCAAUAUUGCCUAAAACAGUAGAUAAAUUAGCAUGGAGGAAUCAAAAAUUAUAGAUACGUUGGAGACGUAUCACGCAUCUUCAACGGCUCAUGUUCGUUCCAUCCCAGGCCUCGCUGUCGUCCUCCGCCUUGCAGCCUUGGUUCGCUUGCCGUGCGCAGUGCGCCACCCUCUUGCAUUGUCAACAUCGUCAACAACCGAGAGGAACAAGGAGAUGACGGUACGUGGAGAGGAUGACCGUAGGGACCCACCGGCGUCAUGGUUGUACGCAAGCAAGUGCCUCUAUAGUACAAGCCCAAAAAUAUGGUUCCUCCCAGUCCUAAUGGUUUGACAUCUGGGGCUCACGCCAUUGUCAACGUAGUCAAUAAACGAGAGAAUUACACUACGAGCGGCUGACACCAGGGACCCAGGAAGUCGUGCAGUUUUUUUUGAGGAACAAGCAGUUGUUAUUUAUACUAGUUUUAGCGACGGAUCAGGGUAACAACGAGGCUGUGCGGGGGCUGUGGCCCGUCUAGCCAGGGUUUUAUUUAUGUUUACCACAUCAUGAGCCCAGUUGUGUUUUUUUCUUGCUGAAAAUGGGUAGCCUAGUUCUAUUUUUUAAAGAAAUACCCAAACAAGGCCUACUUGCUUUAUCGGCCCUGCUGGGCUGCAAAUCUUUCAAGACGAUGAGAGUUUCAUUCGUUUUGCCCAGAAAUGGCCUGUACAUUUUUAAAACACAUCAAACCGAGAAUUAGUUUCAUUUUUUUUAUUACAAGAUCUUAAAUUCCAUUGAUUUUUAUGUGUGGACAAUUAUUUGGAUUUUAUAUUUAUAUAAAUUAUUUUUCAAAAUAGUUUGAAUGUGAAUCGAUAUUUCUAUAUUAAAACAGUUGACCGCACUGAAAUAUGCAAAAUUUCGUAUAUUUUUUAACCGUGGCCACAAUAUGGGUUGUAAUGCUAACAAAAAGAAGAUGGGUUCCAAAAAAAUCUUAAGAAUUAGCAAAUGGGUUGUACAUUAUUAGAAAUAAUGGCAAAUGGGUUGUAUGCUGUUUUCCAUAGAUUUGAGGCUGACUUGUGCGCCUACUACAGGUUGACGCGUAUGCUUUCAUAAAAAAAAGGUUGACGCACACGCAACACCCUGUCAACUUAGUCAACACACGAGAGCUGUGACUGUUGGAUAUCCAUCCAACGGCUGUCGUGCUUCUUCAAUCUCUGCUCUUCAUGCUCCAGCCGCUCAAACAAGCACCGGCGGGACUGCCUGCUCCCUCCUCCCGCGGCCGGCUAUGCUACCGCACUCAUGGCCCCACCGUACUCCCAUCGCUGGCCUAGCCAUCCCUCUACUCACCCACAUAUGCUGUUAUUCUCCGGCGACGGCAGAUGAACUAGUAAACCCUCGUACUCCUCCGCGUGGGAAACAACUGCCAAGUAUUCCCUGGCUCCGUGUCAUUCCCUUCCUAGGCCUCGCCGUCCUCCACCGCCCUGGUGCUCUUGGCGCGGCCUGGUCAACGUGGUCAAUGAACGACAUCCAUCGGAAGUGGACUAUACGUGGCGAGGCUGACAGCUGGGUCCAUGGCCGCCCAGAAGGAAAUGCCUCCUUAUUACGCGCAAAAUAAUGAUUCCUCCACCUGACAGCUAGGACCCAGAGGAAGGGCCUCUAUAUUUCGUGAAAAAACGUUCCCCCCAUUGACAGGUCGGACCCACCAGCUAUAUCUUCGCACGCAUGGAAGUGCCUCCUUAUUACGCCCAAAAAAUGAAUACCCCCCUGCUAGCUGGGACCCACCAUAUUGUUGGGCUGACUUGUGGGCCUACUAAGUUGACGGGGACGAAGGGCUUUGUCAACUUAGUCAAUACUCUAGUGACCGUAUGAUGUCCAUCCAACGGCCGUAGUGCUUCUUCAACCUCUGGUCUUCUUGCUCCAGCCGCCCAAAGCAGCGCCAGUCAUGCCGCCUGCUCCUGCCUUCCGUGGCCGGCUGUGCGACCGCCUGCUCCGUGUCGUCCCCUUCCUAGGCCUCGCCGUCGUCCACCGCCGUGGUGCUCUCGGCGCGGCGUGGUCAAUGUGGUCAAUGACCGACAUCCAUCGGAAGAGUACUAUACGUGGAGAGGCUGACAGCUGGGUCCACGGCAGCCGCAAGGAAGUGCCUCCUUAUUACGUGGAAAAUAAUUAUUCCUCCACCUGACAACGGGCACCCACCGGACGAGCCACCAGUAUUUUGUGAAAAAAAUCGUUUGCCCUUGACUGCUGGGACCCACCGGACGGGCCACCGUAUUUCGCGAAAAUAAUGUUCCCCCCGCUGUCAGCUCAGACCCAACGGAAGUGCCUCCUUAUUACGCACAAAAAAAUGAAUACUCCCCCGGCUAGCUGGGACCCACCUUGGUGGGAGGCUAUCUUGUGGGCCUACUAAGUUGACGGGAACGAAGGGGUUUUCUCAACUUAGUCAAUAUGAACGAGUCUAGCUCUAGUGACCGUACGAUGUCCAUCCAACGGCCAUAGUGCUUCUUCAACCUCUGGUCUUCUUGCUCUAGCCGCCCAAAGCAGCACGGGUCGUGCCGCAUGCUCCUGCCUCCUGUGGCCGGCUGUGCUGCCGCGGAGGCCUCAUCGCCCCUACUAUUCCCACCGCUGGCCAGGCCCUGCGGCGACGGCAGCCUCACACCGCAACCGAACCAGUGAACCCUCGUACUCCUCUCCGCGCGGGCUUCCCCUACCGCGUCUUCCCCGGCUCCACGUCGUCCCCUUCCUAGGCCUCGUCAUCGUCCACCACCGUGGUGCUCUCCGCGCGGCGUGGUCAACGUGGUCAAGGAACGACUUCCAUCGGAAGAGUACUGUACGUGGAGAGGCUGACAGCUGGGUCCACGGCCACAGCGCAGUUUUUUUGUGAUUUGCCAAGUAAGUCGCUUUGUCAGGCCUGUUGGGCUAUAAAUUGUUCAAGACGAGGAGAGCUUUCAUUUGGCUGGCCGAGAAAAUGGCCCAUUAGUAAUGAGAAAUGGGUUGUACAUUUUUAAAACACAUCAAACCGGCAAUUAGUUUCAAUUUUUUUCAUUCAGGAUUUUAAAUUACAUUAAUUUUUAUGCGUGGAGAAUUUGUUGGAUUUUAUAUUGAUAUACAUUUAUUUUUAAAAUCAGUUUGAAUGUGAGUCGAAAUUUCGGGAUUAAAAACAGUUUGGACCGCACCGAAAUAUGCAAAAUUUUGUAUAAUUUUUUAACCGUGGCCACAAUAUGGGCUGUAAUGCUAACAAAAAGAAUAUGGGCUCCAAAAAAACCUUAAGAAUUAGUAAAUGGGCUGUAAAUUAUUAGGAAUAAUGGCAGAUGUGCUGUAUGCUGUUUUCCACAGAUUUGAGACUUUCCUAAAAAAAAGUUGACGCACAAGCAGUGACGGUUGGAUGUCCAUCCAACAACCGUCGUGCUUCUUCAAUCUCUUCUCUUCCUGCUCCAGCCGCUCAAACAAGCGCCGAUGGGACUGCCUCCUCCCUCCUCCCCGCGGCCGGCUGUGCUGCCGCGCAGGCCUCACCGUCCCACCGUACUCCCAUCGCUGGCCUAGCCAUCCCUCUACUCACCCACACCUGCUGUUAUUCUCCGACGAUGGCAGACAAACCAGUAAACCCUCAUACAGCCGUACUCCCCUCCACGUGGGAAAUAACUGCCGAGUCUUCCCUGCCUUCGUGUCGUCCCCUUCCUAGGCCUCGCUAUCGUCCACCGCCGUGGUGCUCUCGGUGCGGCGUGGUCAAUGUGGUCAACGACCGACUUCCAUCAGAAGAGUAUUGUGCAUGGAGAGGCUGAUAGCUGGGUCCACGGCCGCAGCAAGGAAGUGCCUCCUUAUUACACGCAAAAUAAUUAUUCCUCCACCUGACAGCAGGGACCCACCGGACGGGCCACCGUAUUUCGUGAAAAAAAGUUCCCCCUUGACUGCUGGGACCCACCAACUACACCUUCGCACGCAAGGAAGUGCGUCCGGGCAAAACAAAACGAUUCGCCCCCUGACUGCUGGGACCCACCAGCUACAUCUUCGCAUGCAAGGAAGUGCGUCCGGGAAAAAAAAAUGAUUCUCCCCCCUGACUGCUGGGACCCACCAGCUACAUCUUCGCAGGUAAGGAAGUGCAUGACAGUCGGGACCCACCUGGUCGAAGCAUACGUAGCAUUGUCAUUCUGGUCGCGAACGUGUACGUACAUAUAUACUGGUGGAUGUAGAGGCACACACGUGUCGUAUGAGAGGCGCGCACGUAGCAUGUACACGUACGUACAACGGCCAGGGUGCAAGAAAGAAAAUACGGCCACGUAUGUGUACAUACGGGCAGGGUCUCGAACGCCUACUCGCGCAUACGUACGGCGAGGGCUCGUUUACAUGUCUGGGUCGGAACGUAAAAACAUGUUCAUGGGGAGGCAACAGAAUGCGUCGUGUUCAUGGGGAGGCAACGGAAUGCGUCAUGUUCAUGGGGAGGCAACGGAAUGCAUCGUGUUCAUCGGGAGGCAAUGAAACGCAUGGGAGCCAACCGGCUGGGUCGGAACAGAAUGCGUGGUCGUGUUCAUCGGGAGGGCUUGGACGGAACAGGCGAUGGAAAUGAGGCCUGGCGUACCGCAGAACGGAGGAAACAGACCUCCUACAUUCGGAACGGGGUCCUGUUGAUCGGGAGGGGUGUGGCGUACCGCAGAACGGAGGAAAUGGACCUCUUACGGUUGAAACGGGGGUCCUGUUGAUCGAGAGGGGUGUGGCGUNNNNNNNNNNNNNNNNNNNNNNNNNNNNNNNNNNNNNNNNNNNNNNNNNNNNNNNNNNNNNNNNNNNNNNNNNNNNNNNNNNNNNNNNNNNNNNNNNNNNNNNNNNNNNNNNNNNNNNNNNNNNNNNNNNNNNNNNNNNNNNNNNNNNNNNNNNNNNNNNNNNNNNNNNNNNNNNNNNNNNNNNNNNNNNNNNNNNNNNNNNNNNNNNNNNNNNNNNNNNNNNNNNNNNNNNNNNNNNNNNNNNNNNNNNNNNNNNNNNNNNNNNNNNNNNNNNNNNNNNNNNNNNNNNNGUCGAAACGGGGGUCCUGUUGAUCGGGAGGGGUGUGGCAUACCGCAAAACGGACAAAACGGACUUAUGUUGGAGCGCUAUGGUCGAAACGGGGGUCCUGUUCAUCGGGAGGGGUGUGGCGUACCGCAAAACGGACGAAACGGACUUGUGUUGGAGCGCUACUGUCGAAAUGGGGGUCCUGUUCAUCGGGAGGGGUGUGGCGUACCUCAAAACGGGACUCCACGGGAUACUGUUCAUCUCCACCGUCGACCUCCUCCAGUCUCCACGGGCGAUCGUUGACCUCCUCCAGCCUCCACGGGCUCCUGUUCAUCCAGCCUCCACCGCGUGUCGUGGUUCUAAGUCUGACAGUAGAAUAGGGGUAGGAUAACGGAGCAUGAUCUAUCGAGAUGCAUAUGGGUGACACAGUGGUUUUAGCGAGUUCGGGCCUCUCACGAUGGAGAUAACGACCCUACGUUUCGUGCUCCGGAGAGGCUUUGUUUUUAUCUGAGUAUAUAUCCGGAGAUUACAAUGUGUGUGUAAGCGAGGAACGGAUCCCCAUGCCUGAGCUAAGUCCUGAGACUAAUGGUGAAAAGAGAGAGAGGUGGAAGAAAAGAGCCCCCCAAGUCUAGUGGUGGGGGGUGGCUUAUAUAGAGUGCGCCACCUCCUCACCUCCUAUGUUACAAAGUGGGGUAUGAAUGCUAUAAUGACAGCCCACUAUUAAGCCUUCACUAUUAGAAAGAUGCCGACUGCUUUGCUGCCUGCUGGUCUUCGUAUAUCCGAGUGAGUCGUACGGUCAAGUGGUGAACUGUCAUCCGAGUGGAUGGUAUAUUGCUUGGUCGAGAGGACAGUGUGCCUAUAUGAAAUUGACCUGGACCCACAUGUUGUGUGGACCCCACGCUUCAUGAUAUUUCGACCCUUCGUGGGCCUACCUGUUAUGUAUAUCCCCAACAUUAGCCCCCGAAUCGAUUGCGAUUUUGCAGAACGAGUUGGUGUAAGACACAGUUUGGUCCGAGUGAUUACAGAAAUACUCGGUACAUGUCGUCGCGCUUUCAGACAACCAAGGUUUGAACAAAAUCUCAAUGGAUUCCGGUACCAUGCUUCCCGACUGAUCGAGGUAUGUGUCUGUGAGGAGCAACUUGGUGACAUUCGUUCAUCUCUCGGGAGAGGUUUAACUCGUGAUCUGAGUAUGGGUGUGUCAUUAAAUCUGUGCGACCAAAUUGACACAUGGACUGUUCUCUUAGAGAGAUGCCAUUCUUAUCCCGGAGGAACAUCAAUACGAGUCGGUUUUAGAUCCACACUUGUGAGUUUCACACUUUGAGUCCUAGAAGAAGGCUCAAAACAGGUCCACGGAGGAGCGUUAAACUCGCCUUAUAGAAUAUUUUUUGGAGUGAUUUGGAGCUGGGCCUGCAUCGAGUGACUGAUUACUCGGAAUUUCUUCACGCCUGGAACGUGUCUUUUUUGUUGUUUGGCUGUCACUCGGGUUGGGCGGACCGUUCCGAGUGGAUACCAUUCCAGUGGGGGCACGCUGAGUGCACCCACUGGGUGUAGUCUCCGAGACUGCUGUCGACUGCGGGCAGUCGGCGGGAGUCUUAGAGCCUGUCUUUUUGUUGUUGUUUGGCCGUCACUAGGGUUGGGCGGACCGUUCCGAGUGGAUACCAUUCCAGUGGGGGCACGCUGAGUGCACCCACUGGGUGUAGUCCCCGAGACUGCUGUCGACUGCGGGCAGUCGGCGGGAGUCUUAGAGCCUGUCUUUUUGUUGUUGUUUGGCCGUCACUCGGGUUGGGCGGACCGUUCCGAGUGGAUACCAUUCCAGUGGGGGCACGCUGAGUGCACCCACUGGGUGUAGUCCCCGAGACUGCUGUCGACUGCGGGUAGUCGGUGGGAGUAUGAGAGAACUAAAACUCUUCUUAUCUGGUACUGAUCGAACUUGUUCUUCUCUGACUCGGAGGUCGAGUAAUACUGGAGAUGGGUUUGCAUCGAGCAAAAUGUUUCUUUCUGAGUCCUCUUCCAGUGGGGGCACGCUGAGUGCACCCACUGGGUGUAGUCCCCGAGCCUCUGUCGGACUAGAUGAGUCUGGCAGAGGGUUUAAGUCUCUCAGUAAACCUCCAUGCAGUUGGCAUGGCAAAUAUCUUUGUCUGGAAUUGAAUCAAUCGGAUGGAUGCGUAACGAGGUGGUUGUACGAACAAUGAGUAAGGUCGCCUGUACGAUUCAGCGAUGGCGCUUCAUUUUUACCCUUUUGCAUGAAAAGGGGUAUUUAUCCAAGUGGACGUGCUUCACUUAUAGAUCUUCGGCGAACCGAGCAUGUAUGGUCAGAAGAAUAUCUUGAUGUGAUCAACAGGUUGACCAAAUGGGCGUAACCCCUGAGGGUGACAUGGCCAACUGCCGCGCGUAGGCCCCGAGUGAUGCUCGAAGGAGGUAAGCUUGCUACAGAGUGUGAUAUGAGGUUUGACCAUAUGAGUAACUUAGCCGUUCCCGUGCUGGGGGUGUAGAGGUAAAGACAUGUCCAACUGAUGGUGACGCGCGGGGCGGCCGAGGGGCGAGGACGUGUAUAACCGAGUGGCGACGUGCGGGGCGGCCGAGUGGUGAAGACAUGCAAAACCGAGUGGCGCCGCGCGGGGCGGGCGAGUGGUGAAGACGUGCAGAACCAAGUGGCGAUGCGCGGGGCGGCCAAGUGGUGAAGACGCACACAACCGAGUGGAGACGCGCGGGGCGGACGAGUGAUGAAGACGUGCGCAACCGAGUGGCGACGCGCNNNNNNNNNNNNNNNNNNNNNNNNNNNNNNNNNNNNNNNNNNNNNNNNNNNNNNNNNNNNNNNNNNNNNNNNNNNNNNNNNNNNNNNNNNNNNNNNNNNNNNNNNNNNNNNNNNNNNNNNNNNNNNNNNNNNNNNNNNNNNNNNNNNNNNNNNNNNNNNNNNNNNNNNNNNNNNNNNNNNNNNNNNNNNNNNNNNNNNNNNNNNNNNNNNNNNNNNNNNNNNNNNNNNNNNNNNNNNNNNNNNNNNNNNNNNNNNNNNNNNNNNNNNNNNNNNNNNNNNNNNNNNNNNNNNNNNNNNNNNNNNNNNNNNNNNNNNNNNNNNNNNNNNNNNNNNNNNNNNNNNNNNNNNNNNNNNNNNNNNNNNNNNNNNNNNNNNNNNNNNNNNNNNNNNNNNNNNNNNNNNNNNNNNNNNNNNNNNNNNNNNNNNNNNNNNNNNNNNNNNNNNNNNNNNNNNNNNNNNNNNNNNNNNNNNNNNNNNNNNNNNNNNNNNNNNNNNNNNNNNNNNNNNNNNNNNNNNNNNNNNNNNNNNNNNNNNNNNNNNNNNNNNNNNNNNNNNNNNNNNNNNNNNNNNNNNNNNNNNNNNNNNNNNNNNNNNNNNNNNNNNNNNNNNNNNNNNNNNNNNNNNNNNNNNNNNNNNNNNNNNNNNNNNNNNNNNNNNNNNNNNNNNNNNNNNNNNNNNNNNNNNNNNNNNNNNNNNNNNNNNNNNNNNNNNNNNNNNNNNNNNNNNNNNNNNNNNNNNNNNNNNNNNNNNNNNNNNNNNNNNNNNNNNNNNNNNNNNNNNNNNNNNNNNNNNNNNNNNNNNNNNNNNNNNNNNNNNNNNNNNNNNNNNNNNNNNNNNNNNNNNNNNNNNNNNNNNNNNNNNNNNNNNNNNNNNNNNNNNNNNNNNNNNNNNNNNNNNNNNNNNNNNNNNNNNNNNNNNNNNNNNNNNNNNNNNNNNNNNNNNNNNNNNNNNNNNNNNNNNNNNNNNNNNNNNNNNNNNNNNNNNNNNNNNNNNNNNNNNNNNNNNNNNNNCGGGGCGGCCGAGUGGUGAAAACGUGCAGAACCAAGUGGCGAUGCGUGGGGCGGCCAAAUGGUGAAGACGCACACAACCGAGUGGAGAUGCGCGGGGCGGACGAGUGAUGAAGACGUGCGCAACCGAGUGGCGAUGCGCGGUGCGGCCGAGUGGUGAAGACGUGCAAAACCGAGUGGCGCCGCGCAGGGCGGCCGAGUGGUGAAAACGCGCAAAACCGAGUGGCAACGCGCGGGGCGGCCGAGUGAAGGACUAAGUGUCCAGCUGAGUGGCAAAAAUGGUCCUUGAAGGAGUUAGCCAGAUGCUUUUGAAGCUGAUGUAGCGACAAGGUCGGUGUAGUGUGGCUGUGGCGCAACAAGACCGGUGCGACAACUGAAUUUGAGUAGGAACGAAGAUGGCACGCAGAGUGUCUGGGUGAUUAUGAAAUUUGUCAAAGUGACGGAUCGAAUGUACUUGUUGAAGUGAAGGGUCUGAUUGGUGAUGAAGUACUCGACCACUUAGGAGAGUGUCAUUCCAAAUGAGAUGCAGCCCCCGAGUGCGGCGUAGCCCCCGAGCAUACUACAGGCUUCGACAACGGACAUGUCGGAAUAUGAGAAAUGUAGUUUUGAAUGGAUGAUUUGUAAUUCAUCGAGUCGGAUUUGGGCAAAGAUGAGGAGAAGCUUCCGAGUGAUGCUCGGAAGAAGCAAACUCGCAAAAGAGUGAAGUGUGAAGUUUAAUUAUGAAAGGGACUUAUCUGUCUCAUGCCCGACGAGGUCUAUAUCAUUGAUACGAUGAAGAGAAUUCCAUAGAGGGGUUGGCCGGACGUGUUUGAAAUCAACAGGGCGACAAAGUCAGUGUUGUGGUGCGCUAGGACCAGUAUGGAGACCGAGUCCGAGCAGCGAUGAAGUUGGCGCGUAGGGCCGUCGAGUGAUCGCGUUAACUUGUGUAAAAAAUGGCACAAGUCAACACAAUAAUUUCUUGAGGAAAUUUGAUGUGUGCUGAAAUGAUUUGUGUGAAUAACACCCAUAGACACCCGCUGGGAGUGCAAGGGGCUUGCUGGUUGACCAGCAAAAGUUUAAAAGAGCGAAGGAUUCGUUCGCACUUGUCGAAGCGAGAGAUCCUACUGAACUUGUUGGAAUACUGGCUAAAAUAAAACGUAAGUGUAGUGUUUUGACUGAGUUGCAGCCCCGGAGGACCGAUGCAAACUCGAAAUGAAGAACGACACAUGGUGUUCGUGAAUGAUAUAUGCGAAAAAAAGGAAGUUGGACUUCGGAGUCACAUAACCAGUACUAAGCAAGUAUGUGAAAAUAAGCAGUCGAGCGUAGAGGUACACUCGGUGGUGUGGCCUCCGAGUGAACCUGAUGUGUGAAUUAUGGAAUACUCGGGAAGACGAAAAUAACAGAAUGUAAAAUGACUUAGCUGUCUGAAGGCGCGCAGGGCGGUCGAGUGGUGAUGAGGUGACCAACCGAUUGGCGACGCGCGGGGCGGCCGAGUGCUGAUGAGGUGAUCAACCNNNNNNNNNNNNNNNNNNNNNNNNNNNNNNNNNNNNNNNNNNNNNNNNNNNNNNNNNNNNNNNNNNNNNNNNNNNNNNNNNNNNNNNNNNNNNNNNNNNNNNNNNNNNNNNNNNNNNNNNNNNNNNNNNNNNNNNNNNNNNNNNNNNNNNNNNNNNNNNNNNNNNNNNNNNNNNNNNNNNNNNNNNNNNNNNNNNNNNNNNNNNNNNNNNNNNNNNNNNNNNNNNNNNNNNNNNNNNNNNNNNNNNNNNNNNNNNNNNNNNNNNNNNNNNNNNNNNNNNNNNNNNNNNNNNNNNNNNNNNNNNNNNNNNNNNNNNNNNNNNNNNNNNNNNNNNNNNNNNNNNNNNNNNNNNNNNNNNNNNNNNNNNNNNNNNNNNNNNNNNNNNNNNNNNNNNNNNNNNNNNNNNNNNNNNNNNNNNNNNNNNNNNNNNNNNNNNNNNNNNNNNNNNNNNNNNNNNNNNNNNNNNNNNNNNNNNNNNNNNNNNNNNNNNNNNNNNNNNNNNNNNNNNNNNNNNNNNNNNNNNNNNNNNNNNNNNNNNNNNNNNNNNNNNNNNNNNNNNNNNNNNNNNNNNNNNNNNNNNNNNNNNNNNNNNNNNNNNNNNNNNNNNNNNNNNNNNNNNNNNNNNNNNNNNNNNNNNNNNNNNNNNNNNNNNNNNNNNNNNNNNNNNNNNNNNNNNNNNNNNNNNNNNNNNNNNNNNNNNNNNNNNNNNNNNNNNNNNNNNNNNNNNNNNNNNNNNNNNNNNNNNNNNNNNNNNNNNNNNNNNNNNNNNNNNNNNNNNNNNNNNNNNNNNNNNNNNNNNNNNNNNNNNNNNNNNNNNNNNNNNNNNNNNNNNNNNNNNNNNNNNNNNNNNNNNNNNNNNNNNNNNNNNNNNNNNNNNNNNNNNNNNNNNNNNNNNNNNNNNNNNNNNNNNNNNNNNNNNNNNNNNNNNNNNNNNAGUGGUGAUGAGGUGACCAACCGGGUGGCGACGCGCGGGGCUGCCGAGUGGUGAUGAGGUGACCAACCGAUCGGCGACGCGCGGGGCGGCCGAGUGGUGAUGAGGUGACCAACCGAUCGACGAGGCCCGGAGCGGUCGAGUGGUGAUGAGGUGACCAACCGAGUGGCGACGCGCGGAGCGUCCGGAUGAUGUAGACGCGCCGCGAAAUGGUGACGUACGGAGCGGCCCACUGACGAGGGUGUGUCCAACCGUACGGCACGCGUGGGGCAGCCGAGUGAGGAGGCGCUGAGUGACGACCCGUGGGACGGCUGAGUCGGAGCAUGUCGAUGAAGUCAAGCCCAACCGAGUGAUAGUGCGUGGGCAGUCGAGUGGAGUUGUCGACGACGUGUUGUGCAGUCGAUUGAGUUGCUUCAUCGUCCAGGAGCCGAAUCUGAUCGAAACAAAGGGGAGGUGGGCCUUUCGCCGCAACUGCCACCGUUGUUGUGAUUGUUCCGCCGAUGACGCUCCUGUGAGAGUUAGCAAUAAAUCCCUAAUAAUUACUAGGUGUAAUUGUUUGGCUAACUGAUGCAUUGAAGGAGUCGUCCACGCCUAACGCAAUGAAGGAGUUGUUCACGCCCAACGAAUUGAUGGACUUGCCCCACGUUCAGAACCGGUUUAUUGCCAGAUCGUGGGAGGUCCACUGCUCGUUUGAAUCCAGCGAUGUGGACCAGGCGACGUUGGUGGAGAUGACCUGCAGUCGAUUGCCGCCGUCCAGUAUUUGUGUGCAUAAUCUGCAUGAAAGAGGUAUUAAUGCUAAUUAGCAAGAAUUAAAUACGAUCCUGCAUGUAAUGGGAGUUUCCUUUUCCCAGGGAUUGUUUCUCCCACUGCAUGCGGGGGCAGCCCAGAGGAGAGCUCCGCUGCGGCGGAAACUGCCAGUCUGGCCGGAAUCGGUCGGCAGCCAAGAGGUGGCGACGAGGUCGAUGAGCGACUGACUGCGGCCCAUCGGAGACGCGGGCCGGUGCUGCCAAGGGCGAGACUGACGCGCGCACUGGUGGUCGUGUUUUACUGCUCAAGGAGCUGGAGUUGUGCGCCGGUCAGAGCCGUGCUUGGACGCUCGCGGAGCCGGGCCGAGUGCAGGCAGCCGUGCCUCACCGUCCGAGGAACCGGGUCGAGCGUUGGUCGCCAGGGUCUGCCGCCCGCAGGCCGGGCGUUAGCAGCUGAGCGUGUGUGGGCGCUGGGUGACGACGUCGCAGUUGAAGUCGGAGAUGACGCCGGGCCGGACCGUGAUGGGGACGUGCAUGGAGGCGCGGUUAGCUUCUUGCUCCAAUGUCGGGAUCGAGCGGGUGCCUCCACGGGGGAGAAUUGUGCCAGAUGACCAGCGUCGGAGGGAGGAGGUGCCGCGCGUGGGGAUGUCGUAGACGAGGCCGAAGACGACGCAGUGGAUGCCUCACCGGAGGGCGUUUGUGCGAGCUCGCCGGCAGUGUCGUAGACGAGGCCGGAGACGACCCAGUGGACGCCUCACCGGAGGGCGUUUGUACGACCCGCGCGAGUGGUCGUUUGUGGUGGUUGCCAUUGAUGAUGAUCCCGUGAAAAGGCAAAAAAGAAGGAACGACUUGUUCUUUUCUCUUCUCCUCUGCUUCAUGACCGAUCAUGCAUGGGUGUGUCUGAUCCUACAGGAGGAAAAGACAAACUUAUUGUUAGACAAUUUAUUGUAAAAAGACUAGAUCAAAUGAAUACUUCCCUGAUCCUUUUGCUUGUACGAAUGGCGCGAUGGCCAGAACUUCAGCGGCCAAUUUCUCUGGCGAUGGUAGUUGAUCCGCUGUCGAAGAUUGAAGAAAAACCAUUUGCACCAUGGCUCGAUAGACGCCAGGCCCCACGGUGGGCGCCAACUGUCGUGGUUCUAAGUCUGACAGUAGAAUAGGGGUAGGAUAACGGAGCAUGAUCUAUCGAGAUGCAUAUGGGUGACACAGUGGUUUUAGCGAGUUCGGGCCUCUCAUGAUGGAGAUUACGACCCUACGUCUCGUGCUCCGGAGAGGCUUUGUUUUUAUCUGAGUAUAUAUCCGGAGAUUACAAUGUGUGUGUAAGCGAGGAACGGAUCCCCAUGCCUGAGCUAAGUCCUGAGACUAAUGGUGAAAAGAGAGAGAGGUGGAAGAAAAGAGCCCCCCAAGUCUAGUGGUGGGGGGUGGCUUAUAUAGAGUGCGCCACCUCCUCACCUCCUAUGUUACAAAGUGGGGUAUGAAUGCUAUAAUGACAGCCCACUAUUAAGCCUUCACUAUUAGAAAGAUGCCGACUGCUUUGCUGCCUGCUGGUCUUCGUAUAUCCGAGUGAGUCGUACGGUCGAGUGGUGAACUGUCAUCCGAGUGGAUGGUAUAUUGCUUGGUCGAGAGGACAGUGUGUCUGUAUGAAAUUGACCUGGACCCACAUGUUGUGUGGACCCCACGCUUCAUGAUAUUUCGACCCUUCGUGGGCCUGCCUGUUAUGUAUAUCCCCAACACCGCGCGCUACUCCACCUGCUACUGUUCAACCACCCCUCCACCUUCUAAUAUUCAUCCAGACCUCCACCGUGUACUGUUCAUCCAGCCCUCCACACCACGGUGUUCUGUUCAACCACCCCUCCACGGCCACCCCUCCACCAUCUAUUGUUCAUCCAGCCCUNNNNNNNNNNNNNNNNNNNNNNNNNNNNNNNNNNNNNNNNNNNNNNNNNNNNNNNNNNNNNNNNNNNNNNNNNNNNNNNNNNNNNNNNNNNNNNNNNNNNNNNNNNNNNNNNNNNNNNNNNNNNNNNNNNNNNNNNNNNNNNNNNNNNNNNNNNNNNNNNNNNNNNNNNNNNNNNNNNNNNNNNNNNNNNNNNNNNNNNNNNNNNNNNNNNNNNNNNNNNNNNNNNNNNNNNNNNNNNNNNNNNNNNNNNNNNNNNNNNNNNNNNNNNNNNNNNNNNNNNNNNNNNNNNNNNNNNNNNNNNNNNNNNNNNNNGUUAGCAGCAGUAGCGAAGGAAUCGCUCCAUCGGGUUCAGUUAACAACCAUCGAUCAAUCGCUCGGGUUAAGUAACGCGUAGCCUGCAGUGCAAUUGCUCGGGUUCAGUUAGAGCCCAACGCCCCGCUCGGGUUCAGUUAGAGCCAACGCCUUGCACACACGCACAUACGUGUACGAGAGAAACACGCAUCGCUCGGCCCCUGACCUCCCACCGUAACCGGCAACUCCCCAAAAUUUUCCUCCCCCUCGCUUCUACCACGGUUUUUUCCGUCAUGGACGGCCCAAAGAAUGCCAUGCAGCUGCGUCUCCGGCCCGCCCAUGACGAAAAGCCCAUUUUCUUUCAUGAUUUUUUGUCAUAGAAGUAGGAGCCCACCACAUCUAUGAUGAUACCGGGUUUUGUCACAAUUAUCGUCAUAGAAGUGUCAUAUGUAUGACAAAUUUUUUUUUCGUUCGGCCCAAAAUGUCACGGAUGUGUCUUUUUUUGUAGUGUUUAAGUCUCAGGGGAUACUGAUAUACAUAAUUAUCAUAUUUUUAUAUUUACCCUUAUAUCUUUCAAAUACUGGUCCAUGGAUCUAGCAAGCCCAUCCUGAGCGGCUCGGAUGUACGCAUCACCUGAGUUGAAGGCAUUAAAAGCCUCAUUGGAAAAACCAGGGUCACGGAGUGCGGCCCGCUGGCGCCGAUGAUUCAUGGCGCUCUCGACUUCAGAAUUUGUGGCGGACAUUUUGUCCGAAUCCUCUGUUUGAGGACAGUCCGGUGUCACUCCCGUGUUGGCCUCCGUCCUCAAGACCGGGUCUAGAAUCAUGCUAGUGGAGGCAUGGUUGGCAGGACCCUCGGACAUAGUUCAGCGGAUGUUCUGUCUGCUAAACACACAACGGAUAGUGUCAUACUUUAAGAUGAUGAACUGUGGAGCAUAUUCAAAACCAUACCUCCUUAAAGACGGCUCCGCUAUAUUUUUGUCCGCCUUUCUUUUUAAAGGCCUACCCGACACGGGCGCCCCUUGUUGGUGAGUCGCCUCGGGUUCGGCAUGGCACGCCGAUCGUCUUUCCUUUAGAGCAUAAGAAUUGCACGGUGGGUAAGAUGGAAGGAAUAAAUCUUUUCUGGAAGAUAAGUCUCUUGUUUACUUACAUGUGAUACAGGGAGGAGGCCGGGAUAGUCAGCAAUGAUGGCCACCUCUGUGCCGUCACAGCUCGCCUGGUGAAACACCCCUUCCACGAGCUCCACGAAUAUAUCUGGAUCCUCUUCAAAUCCGGGGUCGAGGGCCCGGUUGCGGUCCUCUAGCUGUGGAGCCGGGCUAUGGAACUCCCUGAUUAGUUUUCGCCAUUCCUGUUACAUUUAGACAGAGUAAAUAUUUAUGAAAACAAAGGCUUAGGGAAUAAAUAGAGUAGAGUAAUGGAUGGCAACUCAGCCAGCUUGGAGGGUUGUACAUGGAAAAUCCAUCCCGUGGCUUAAUACGGACGAACUCCUCUCUUUCCCCCUUGUACAAAUCAGACAGUAUUUCCACCAGAGCGGUGGUGGGUUCUGGGCCUUAUCAGCCACGGCGGGUGGCAUCGUCGUCUCCAUUAAAGUGCCACAUGGGAUGCCCUCGGUAUUGGAGUGGCUGAACCCUCCGCGUUAUGGAUAUCGCCAUAUCCUCGACUAUUGAUAAUCCGGACUGAGCGAGUAUUCUUAUCUUGCUCAUCAAUUGAAGGACCUCCCUGUUAUCUUCCUCUCUGGGGCUCUGGGGACGCCAGUUAAGGCAUUUUUUCAGUGGGGCGUUUGUAAACUCGGGAGGACCCAUUCGGAUUUGGUCAGGAAGGGAGACGUCCUCAAUAUAAAACCACUCAGAGGGCCACUCUUCGGGUGCCUUCUUCAGUGUGCCGGACAAGUAUCCGGUCCCGGCAAUGCGCCAUAUUUCAGCUUUGCCCACUUGGAAUAUUGAUCCCCCUUGAUUACGGGGGACGAGGCAGAACACCUUCUUCCAUAGCUCGAAAUGGGCUUCGCAGCCCAAGAAUAGCUCGCAAAGAGUGACGUAACCUGCGAUGUGCAGGAUGGAGGCAGGUGUGAAGUUGUGCAGCUGGAGGCCAUAGAACUCCAGAAGACCGCAGAGAAAUAGAUGGAUUGGAAAUCCGACACCCCGCAGCAAGUAGGAAACAAGGCAUACUCACUCCCCCUGGAUGGGUUGGGAAAGUUCUCCGCCUGCUCCCCGCCGUCGAAGGAAGCCAGUCCAGCUCGAAUGUGGACUAAAUAUGCAGGAGGUAGGUACCCUUGGGUCUGCAUCUUCACUAAUCGGCCAUGAGAUAUGAUACACUUCUCCCAAUCGCCCGACUUGGUGUUGCGAGAGUGGGAGGAAGAGCUGCGAGCACCGGCCAUGUUGGAGUGGUUUUUUCGGGAGCGCUCUAAUGAUUCCUCGCUUUGGGGGGGGGGUGCUGUGGAUCGGAUCUGAAGAUCCCCAUCUCUUUAAUAGACAAUUUAUUUACAUGGCUAGGGUGGAAAAUGUAAAAAUGCCCCGCCUUCUCGCAUUUGCUCGACACGUGGAGGCUGAGACCGUUAAUGUGCAGAAGCCGAUGAACGUAACAUUAAAUGGGGAGCCGGACACUGCUUUUUAUGAUAGGUACUUUGAAGGAUUCGGAGAAGGAACCCGCCUUGCAAUGCCAAAGACAAUAUGCACGCUGGACUCAUUGUCAUUGAAGCUUGGUUCGGGGGCUACUGAGGCAGUCCUGGAUUAAGGGGUCCUCGGACAGCCGGACUAUAUGCGUAUGCCAGACUGUUGGACUAAGAAGAUACAAGAUAGAAGACUUUGUCUGGUGUCCGGAUGGGACUCUCCUUUGCGUGGAAGGCAAGCUUGGUAGUUAGGAUAUGAAGAUUCCAUUCUUUGUAACCGACACUGUGUAACCCUAGCCCCCUCCGGUUUUCUAUACAAACUGGAGGGUUUAGUCCGUAGGACAACAACAAUCAUAACCAUAGGCUAGAUUCUAGGGUUUAGCCUCUACGAUCUCGUGGUAGAUCAACUCUUGUAAUACUCAUAUCAUCAAGAUCAAUCAAGUAGGAAGUAGGGUAUUACCUCCAUCAAGAGGGCCCGAACCUGGGUAAACAUUGUGUCCCCCGCCUCCUGUUACCAUUAGCCUUAGACGCACAAUUCGGGACCCCCUACCCGAGAUCUGCGGGUUUUGACACCGACAACCGCGGCGGGCCAUUAAAUCUCUAGUACUAGCCGACUUCGUCGCCGAGUGGAUAGAUGCCGAACUCCCUAAAGAGUCACUCCAAAAAAAUACACUUCCAUGAUGAUACGUGUUUGUCACAGUAGGUUGCAUUUUUUGUCAUGCAUGUACAUCCAUGACGAUUUUAUGACAUAAUCAAGAUAGUCAUACCUGUGCUGUCGUAGAAGUGUUCCAUGACAUUACCAAAAUUAUCAUCACGAAAGUGUCCACUUCCAUGACGAUAAAUCGCGCGUCAUAGAAGUGCUUUCGUCAAGGGUGACCGACACGUGGAAUCCACUGUAACGGAACGCCGUUAAGCUAUCGGGUCCAGUUUUGGAUCCGAUAACCCAUUAACAGCCCCGACCAAUGGAGAUUUUCCACGUGUAAAUUCAUCAUUGGCUGGAGGAAACAUGUGUCGGCUCGCCGUUGGGACAGAUGUCAUCCACUCAUUGGGCCCAAGGCGCCUAUGAUACGUUGACACGUGGCACGGCCCAACAGAGGCCCAUUCCUGUGAAAAGGCCGACCCAUUUGACUUGGUCAAAAGGUGGCGGGCCGGCCGACGAAAAGCCCGUUAACGGCCUGUUCGCAUAUAGCCCAUUUACAGCCCGCUAACCCAGGGUCCGUUAUAACCUCUCCGAAUUAGGCCCAGUAGCAUCAUCUGGGUCGUCCAAUAUGAUUCCAGCCCGUUUUAACUUCUGGCCCAUGUAUGGCCCAUGACUUCUUUCGGCCCAUGUGAGGCCCUUUGUAACUCUUGGCCCAUUAACGGCCCGUGGUGAAACUGGCCCGUAAUGAACAGUGUAUCACUGUAUACCCAUUACCGGGCCAUUAUUCCAUUGGGCCAUUUCCAGCCCAAGUUAUCUUUCGGCCUUCUCAGGGCCCAUUUAUUCUUGGGCUCAUUUCCAGCCUUUAGUUACUUAUGGCCCGUUACUGUCAUUUUCUGCUUGUGGGCCAAAUUCAGCCCGUCGUUACAGUCGUCCCGUUUGUGGACCGUUAAUACGUUGGGCCGUUUUCAUGUAAAAAAACCCGUUGGGCUGUUUUCAUAGAGUUAUCAAAUACAGCCUAUUAACGGCCCGUUAUGGUCCAUUGCCGGCAUUCUGGGAACAGGAGUCCCCAGACUUGCCCGCCUACGGCCUGGGCAUGGCUCAAGUGAUGGCCCAGUACGACCCAUCUUCAUCGGUGCAAGACUCAAGACCCUCGCGGGGGGCCAAGCCUUGCGGGGCGGUCGACACGAGGCUUCUUCAGGAGUGGACUCACUAGGCAGGCUCGCGAGGAGGCGGAGAGAUCAAGGCAAGGGUACCUUGCGAGGUGCUCGGGACGCAAUCCGUGACGAUCGAGACCGGGCGGGCGCGAGGCGAGCACCGGCCCGCGCAGUGUCCUUGUUUCCUCUUUCAUGCAAAGGGGGCAAGCACAGGUGUGGAGUACCGAGGCAUCAGGCAAAGGUUGCCAUUUCAGCGCAAUGAGACCAAGUCCUGCAGGGCCGCAGGAUGGACGUCACCGUGGAGCCCAAGGCGGCGUCAUCACCAGUGCCUUUGGCAGCCAAAGACCAACUUUCGUCAGGGUAACUUGUACUAGAUGUUCCCCUUCAAAAUGGUCGUUGUUGGCGCCCUUCCCGCUCAAUAUUUGGGAAGAGGACCAGGGCCUCUAUAUAUAGGGCUAGCCACCACAGUAGAGGGCAUCUCAUCGAGUGCUCAUUAGAUCGAUAGGUGACCGAACUCACCCAAGCAGUUCACCGCAGCAGCUCAAGAACACCUCUCGCGAGGCUGUUCGUCCUUUGUACUGUUCAUCAUCAGCCCCUGACGCAAUCCACCAUACCACACAUUGGAGUAGGGUAUUACACCACAACGGUGGGCCGAACCAGUAUAAAUCUGGUGUCCCUUGUGUUGUUCAUCGUUUUAGCUUAGAUUCUUGCAAGGCGAUCGGAUGUAGAGUCGUAGGGGAGAGAUCUUUGCGCGUACCCCAGAGUUCGAACCUCAAGGGUCUGCCGGAUCCCGGAAUCCGACGCUAGGUAGGGGAGCUCCGGAAUCUUUCUUCCGCUAUUUCGCAUUCGAUCUCCCCUCGUGUCCAUGGCUGACGCUCGCCGGGCUCGCGCCGAGUGUCGGGUUGCUCUCGCUGCACGCGUCACCCAAAUGGCUCUCAUCGGCGGAUGUCCCCAUCGUUCCCCAUUGCCUGCCUGCAACACCGCCACCGGCCAGGCGGGGAACGAGCAGCAGGCCUCAUCGCUGCACCCUUCGUUGCGGCGGGAAGGCCGCACCGCCACCCCGUCACUGUCUCCAGCUGGUUCGUCGUCCCACGCCCGUCGCGCCCCCACGGACGCGCACGCCGCGCUACUCCUGGCGCAUGAGCUUCUACAUUAUCGUCCCGUCAAUGACCUCUACGAGGAGUGGCUCACUCACAUCACUGAGCUCGUCAGCGCCGCAUGGGGCACCCCUGCGUCGUCCCUCUCGCUGCCCCGCCCUCCGUACUGUGUGGGUGGUGCAGCCCAGGAGGUGCCUCCGCCACCUCCUCCCCAAGAAGGCGCCCUGGCUCCUAGGAGCGCGGCCCCGAGACGGGAUCCACCUCGUUCGGCCCACGCGUGACAAGAAAGGAGCUGCCAAGAAAUCCCUCAUCCCCAAGAAGGUGCUCGCGUGCUCGCGGCACCGGCAUGCCAUGACCGCAUCCCUGCGCCAGCACGUCAAGAGCCCGCGCUGCUCCAGGCAGCGACGUGCAGGAACCCUCAAGAGCAAGCCCCGCAUCAGCAGAGAGCUCCAGUGGCCACCGCAGGCUGCUGCGCCUUCACCACCGAGCUACACAGUGUCGCCUGGCCAGGCAAGUUCAAACCCGACCUGCCUCCUCGCUACGAUGGCACUGCCGACCCCGCGGAGUUCCUACAGCUCUACGAGCUGGGCAUCGAAGCCGCCAACGGGACGAGAAGGUCAUGGCUAACUAGUUUCCCAUGGCACUCAAGGACGGUGCCCGCACCUGACUCCUGAACCUGCCCCUGGCACGAUCUCCUCCUGGGACGAGAUGCGCACUCGCUUCAUCGCCAACUUUCAGGGCACUCGCGACCGUCCGCCGGCCGUGGGUGACCUGUGCCGCAUCAAGCAGCAACCCGGGGAGACCUUGCAGAAGUACAUCCAGCGCUCCAACAACGCCCGCCUUAAGAUUCCCAAGGUGAUCGAGGAGGCCAUCAUCUCGGCCGGAUGGCGUCCGCGACGUCAAGAUGAAGGAGGAGCUGGCAAUCCACAAAGAUCUGUGCACGUCUCUGGAGUUGUUCAACCUGGCGACCAAGUGCUCAAGGGCUGAGGAGGGAUGCCUUUGCCUUCUCGAGCUCCGGGAUGCAGAUCCAGAAGAGAAGAAAGCCAAGGCCAAGGAUGUGAAGCGCAAGGGAGCGGAUGUGCUUGCAAUAGAGCCGUACACGAAGCACGGCAGGGACCAGCCGGAGUCAUCCAAGGGCAGCCGUUACUGUGUGUACCACGACCUCCAUACCCACAACACCUACAAUGCCAAGAGCUCAGGGCCGUACGAGAAGGCCGUGUUGGUCGACGCCCCAAGCGCAAUGAUCGGGGCUACGGCCGAGGCGGAGGAAGAGGUGGAGGACGAUGGGACGAUCGUGGCCUUCGCCAGGGGUGGCGUGACCGUCCUCGCGAGGAUCGUUGGCAGGACCAACCUCACCAGGGAGCUUGGAGGGAUCAGCCUCGUGAGGAUCGUCCGCAAGGCAACGCAGGGCUUCCUCCUCUGCCGCCACCACCAAGAAGGAAUGACGACAAUCAUCAGGACGAGGGAGCUGGGGGCUUCCAGGAGCCACGUGCAAUCGCUUGCAUCUUGGGCGGCGCUCAGGCUCUAGCCUCUCAGCGCAUCUUCAAGCAGUUUGCUCGCAAGGUGAAUGCAGUCCUCCCCAAACCUGAGGCCACGCGCCCCCUCAGGUGGUCCGCGUGUGACAUCACGUUCAUUUUGGCCGAUCAGCUCAAAUGCGCGGCAACAUUCGGUGUUCUCCCGAUGCUCUGUUCCCUAGUCAUCAGCAAUGUGCAAGUUACCAGGACCCUCAUUGACGGCAGACCAGGGCUCAACAUCCUGUCCGUCGAAACGUUCAACAACCUUCAAGUGCCAUAAGAUCAGCUUCAACCUACCAAGCCUUUCUCAGGAGACACUGAUGGUUCCACUGUCCCGAUAGGGCAGGUCCGCCUCCCUGUCACCUUUGGGCAGCGCAAGAACUACCGUACCGAGCUCAUUGACUUCGACGUCGCCCACAUUCGCCUGCCAUACAAUUCCAUCCUCGAGUAUCCCACUCUGGCCAAGUUUAUGGCAAUGACUCACCAUGGCUACAACGUCCUCAAGAUGCCAGGAAGUGGCAGAGUCAUCAUGGUCCCCUGUGAAGAGAAGGAUGUGGUGUGCUCUCUCGAGCGCGCCUUCCAAGCCGCGUCAAUCGAGGACCCAGACAGCAAGAGUGGAGACCUUCCUAAAGGAGCUCCCAAGAAAAAGAUGACAUGACCUAGGUCAAGGCCUCGGGAGGCAGUCACCUCCGGAGGCGCCACAUCCGGGCAUGCACGCAUCCAAGGGGCGCCACCCUCCGUCGCAUAGGGGGACAUGCCCGACGCCCUCCUUGGGCAAGGCUCGGGGGCUCUCUCCUAGGGAGCCACUGACUUUGCCAAGAUCACGAGGUAGGCGCGCGGGAACUACUUGGAGGUGUGCUUCGCGGCACAUUUCCCUCGGGAAGGCGUAAGGCAAGGAGGGCCCCACCCUCGGGAGUUCAUCACCAAGGUUGCUCAGGACUUGCAGGAAUCGAGAGUCAUGCGCGGCAACCGCCACCUGCCCCGCGUAGCUCCCCAUCCAGGCGAGGAUGGCGGGCUGCGCGUCUGCAUCGACUACCUAGGGCUCAAUCGGAUCACAUCACAAGAGCGCUUAUGGCCUUCGCGCAUGGGGCGUUGUAAGGGUCCACCGCACAGCUACGUUCGCAUGCCCUUCGGCCUAGCAAACACGGCUAUUGCCCACCAGCGCUUGAUGAGGAGCAUUCUGGAAGCUCAGGUGGCCAAGCACCGCGCACUCCUGGAGGAAAUGGAGAUGGACCUCGCCGAGCCGCCCAGACCUCCCGAGCCUCCCGAGGCUCGGAGCUCUGAGGACUCACGAGGGUCGGCUUCCUCACCAUGCACCGUCAGUUGCUUCGACACUCGCUCUGCAAUGGUAUCAGGUGACUUAUCUCAAGUUUCGUGUCAGCUGGGAGCGCCCUCAGGGCUGCAUCAUUUCCAGGUCGCGUGGGUCUGUCCCCGCGGCAUGUAUCCAUUUUGCUUCUGUCUUCAGCUUACCUUGUUGGGGGCGCCCCUCGGGCUGCAUCAUCCCCAAGCCGCUUGGGCCUGACCCAGUGGCAUGUGCCUUUUUCUGCAUCUAUCUAAGUUGAUUUGCUUGUCCAUGCUCAACCUGCCUAUGAUUAUCAUCCGUCGCCUGCUAUGAGCCUAUCUUUUCUUAUGCAAACCGCUUGCACGUUAAAAGGGGGGCGCCUGAGCAUCGCGACUCAGGAGCUCUUACUGGCUCUCCAGCCCUCACCCCAUGGCCUUGUCCACGACAUCGCAACCUGGCAUACCAGCGGCGGCUGAGCUUGCUCUAGGGCCGGGACCUGAGGACGUAGAGCAUUUGCAUGUUAACCAUCUUGCAGGAACGUACCACCGACAAAGGACCAGAGCCAGGCGCAACCCGCCUCGAGGUAGGGCCUUGUGAGUCCCGUGCUAGCUCACGGGUGCCCAGAUACACCCCUCAUAGCCCUAUCGUGCCGGCCAUGUGUCAGGGCGUGGCUGUACACGCCCUGGGGGCUCCUCCUGGAGGGGAGCCCCCCUCCCACGUACCAGUGGAAGCACCAUGCUCCGCGCUGGCUGACGACACUUCCGAGGAGCGGCUAUGCCCGUACACAUACAGAAGCACUAUGCUCCGUGCUGGUGAUAAACAACUGAGGGCAGCCCAUGGCUGUAUCAACCUCAGGGAGCCCAGAGCUUAGUGUAUGGCCUCAUUGCAACGCCUCCUCUCGGGAGCGCCACGCGAGGGGGCUGGGCACGGGGGCUACGCCCGGGCCACGCCCGAGCACAUGCCACCCAGCCAGGUCCCUCGGACCUGGUCGUCGCACGCCCCUCCCCGAGCGGAGCCAAGGUGUGGAGACCCAUUUGAGCGUCAAGGGGGACUCCUGAGGAUCGCGACUCAGGAGCCUAACUGGUCACGUAGCCCCUCACUCCUUAGUUCCGAAAGGCUAACGGCGGUCGAGGUAUGCGCGGGGCCGGGCCCUGCCGAUGUAGAAUGACAGAUCCUCUCUUCCACCCCCUCCCUAUUUGCUGUUUGAGCAUCAAGAGGGACUCCUGAGCAUCGCGACUCAGGAGCCUAACUUGCCAUGUAGCCCCUCACUCCUUAAUCCCAUCCUAGUGAUCCGGUCGGGGCUAAUGGCGUCUGAGGUAUGCGCGGGGCCGGGCGCUACCGACGUAGGACACAAGCAAAUAGGAAGGAAAUCGCAAAAUCUAGCAAAUCCAGAAGCAAAUAUUACAGGCCAUAAGUUGUUCUCACAAUACCGAACACAAAUUUUAAUGCCUCCACGAGGCAUGGUGCAUGUUGCAGGAAUCGAAGCAGGAAAGAGGCCGCGAGAAGAUCACCCCUAGGCUGCGCCACCACUCGUGGUGGAGUCGCGCUUGUCAGCUCCAUCCACCGGGGCCGCGGAGCUGACAGCGCCUCACUUGGGCGCGGUGUUGAAGGCUCGGAACUUCGCCAGCAAGGCCUCCGCUUGACCCUUGCUGGCCUCAGCAGCAGCGGCGGAGCGCUUGGCAUCCACGGGCUCCAGCAGGUCGUCAAGGCUGGCGUCGGGGUUGCAGAGGUAGACGUGGUUGAGGAUCCACGUCAGCGCUGCGGAGGAAAGGACACGAGCCUCAACUUCGGCCAUAGGGCGAUGCCGAUCACGACCUCCUCAAGCGCCUCGACGAGGAAGGGAACCAGCUUAGCGGGGCCUUCCUUGGCCCCAACCAGCGGUUUCUCCAAGCCCCCGUCAUAAAGUAUUUUUAGUGUCGUGCGAGCCCUCUCCUCAUAGUGCAUGAAGGCCGCGCAAUCCUCGUCCAAGACCUCCGCCUUGGCGUCCAGCUCAACACUCUCCGUCUUCAGCGCCUGCUCCAGCGUCUUCAGCCGGUCGCGGUCGGCUGAGAGUUCGGCAUCGCGGUCCUUGACAGCAGCUUCCCAAGCCUUCAUAUCCUCCUCCUUCACCUGGCGGUCGCGAAUCUCCUUGGCGAGCUUAUCACACAGCCCUUGCAACUCGCCCUCCAACGUCUUGCAGUGUCCCUUGACAGUUGAAGCAUCUGUCAAUGCCGCAUCGCAAGCGGCCACGGCCUGGGAGGUGGCUUGCUUCCCCUCCUCGGAAGCGAUCAUAGCUUGGCUCAGCGCCGCUCGGACGGAGGCGUCAGAACAAGCCCAGCCAGAGACCAACUCCAGGCGCCAGGCCUCCAGGCGGGGGUUCGCGCUCCGGAGAUCCUCCCGCAGCCGACGCAGCUCAUCGACGGCACGGUCCAAGGCAACGGAAGAGACGGGAGCCAGCGGAGUAGGAGGAGAAGACAGCAGCGUGAUCACAACUUGGGAGGUAGAGCCUCCUGAGCCUCGGCACCUUCGGCGAUAGCAUCAAGCACAGGCACCUCCAAAGUCAGCGGGAUCACGGGGGCAGGCUCCUCGCCGGAGCGUCCCUGCUAGCCUCGCGAGGAUGAUCGGGCAGGGGAUGUGCGGGCCCCGCUGCCUCCUUUCCCCGCGAGGGAAGACGCAGCCAUGGCUGAUGAGCCCGUUCCAGGCGGGGUCGCCAUGUCUCCCUUCAGCCUCUUCGCCGCAGGUAGCAUCCUGCCCAAUGAAAGAUGCCAGGCCUCGACAGUGAAAGACAGGAACAAGGCGGAGUUCGAGUACUUACUGGUUGACUGCCGCGGGAUCCCACGGACUCCGGCCAAGCUUGAAGCCCGAAAGCCUCUUGCGGGGCUCAAUCUCGGGAGGCCCAGCCGCAGAGGAAGGUGUACCUGAAGGGCUAGAGCUGGCUUCGGCCGACGUGAAGGUUGGGGUGGACCCUCGGGAGAUCAACCCAGACCUGUCCUUCCUCGGGACCAAGGGCGGGUCUUCCCCCCUCGCCUGGCGCCGGCCUCAUCGUCAUCAGGCAUGGAGCGGAGGGUGCUAGACUUGCGCCAGGGGGAAGUCUCCCCUGUCCCCUCGAAGGUCGCCUCCGAGUCAUGCUCCUCAUCCUCUUCUUCGUCUUCCACCUCUCCCCCGCCGGAGUCGCCAGAGGACACGCUCACCGUCGCUGUCGCCGCCUGGCCCUCAGGGUCCUCCGCUGGCACCAGACCGACCCCAUCGAAGGUGGGCAUGGUGUCCACCACCCGUUCCCAGUCAUCACGAAGGAACAAGGGGACCGGAGUGUCCUCCGAGCCUGCCACGUCCUCUCCGACCAAGAAGCAGAGGGUAGCGGGCAGAUCUUCGUCGUUCAGGGCGUCCAAGCUCAGGCGGAGGACGACGUCAGCAUCCUCCAUCCUCCACAGCGGGCGCGAGUGCGCCUGAAGAGGGGCCACCCGGUGCGACAGAAACUCCCUCAAGAGCGAGGCCUCGGCCAGCUUCACCACCCUCAGAUUGCCCGGCCUCAGAUCGGCAUUCAUCUUCUCCAGCACCAGCUUCGCCCGCCAGUCGUCAAGCCUCGCGCGGGACCACGCCUUCACGGCCUCGGGCUGCGCUUUGGGCAGCUCCAGCAGGGGAUUGUUGCUCCUGGCGUCCACCAUGACCCACUUUCUCCGGAAGCCGUCGGCCCUCUUCCCGGCCUUCGAUAUGGCGUUGGACUUGGAGUAUGCGACAAAGCUUGCGCAUGCCGAGAUAUUGGCGCCAGUGACCCGGAGGGAGAAUAAGUGGCACAGCAAGGCCACGGAGGGCAUCACCCGAAGUGCGCCUCGCAGUAGUAGGUGAAGAUCAACAGGAGAAGGACGGAGUUGGGGUGGAUAUGCAGAGCAUGCAACUGAUACUGGUGAAGGACGGCAAGGAAGAACUCAGAGAAGGGAGGGACCAGACCAGCAAUGACGGCGCUCAUGAAUAGGGGAUAGAAGGUGCUCCCCUUGUCCUCCGGCUGGGCCCAGCCAAGCCGGAGCAUAGUCUCCCCCAUCACGUUGCUCUGCACCGCCAGCAUCUGGCGCAUGAGGGCCAGAUUCUUCUCCGUUACGUUGGGGGAGACAAGAGCCGGCGAGUACCAGGCCGACGCGACCCCAGCUGCGGUCUUGCAGGGCGCCAUUGCUCGCCGGAGGAGGAAGGCUGCGGCAAAUCUGGAGAAUUGGAAGCAGGAGGGCGAAGAGCAAGAAAGGGGAUUUGAAGCAAGGCGGAUGAGAGUAAUGAAAGUAAGGCUAACCCAAGGCCAGCCUUUUUGUCAGUCGAGCAGUUACCGAGGCAGCGUGGGGAAGCAUAGACACCCAUGUCCAAUCAACUGCCACGCAGCGCCCAAGGCCGCAGGCUGAUGGGGCCCGCGGCGCUCCGCACUUUCCCCUUUGCUUCUCUGCUAAGCCAAGUCCGAGCACGCCUUAGGCCCGGGGCUAUUGUCGGUGUUAUGGGAAUGGGGGUCCCCAAACUUGCCUGCCCGCGGCCUGCGGCAUGGCUCAAGUGAUGGCCCAGUACGACCCAUCUUCAUCGGUGCAAGACUCAAGACCCUCGCGAGGGGCCAAGCCUCACGGGGCGGACGACACGAGGCUUCUUCAGGAGCGGCCUCGCCAGGCAGGCUCGCGAGGAGGCAGAGAGAUCAAGGCAAGGGUACCUCGUGAGGUGCUCGUGACGCAAGCCAUGAUGAUCAAGACCGAGCGGGCGCCAGGCGGGCGCCGUGUCAUGACCGGUUUUCCAAUAAAAAUAUUUAUUGAGAAACCAAUCUUUUGAGCCCAGUAUGAGAGAAAUCCUCCUCACUGGUAGACAAAUUCUUGAUACAAUAAGCCAGUAGCAUAAAAUAUAUUACGGGGUCGAACUACGGUUGCUCAACCAAAUUAUUACAAGCACGCCAAUAAUUAUACAUAAUGGCGGACAUGACACAGUGGUGUGGAGGCAUACUACUGACUCGAGGAUAGGGCGGUGGUGGAAAAACACAGCGGGGAGAGAAAUACAAGACUCUAAGUCUGUCAUCUCAUCGAGCGUCGAGGUGAGGCUCGAUGAAUUUAUUUGGUAGCGGAAGCGGAUAUAAAACAGUGACCAAAUCCAGGGUCGCACGAGACUGACUGGGACUCCUCUAGGUGUCGGACUCGCUAUCAAACUCUUCAUCCAUGAGAUCGCCUUCGUCAGCAUCUGGCCAAAUCAACAAGCCAGUGAGUACUUUGAAAGUACUCGCAAGACAGUUCGGACGUAAGAUAUAACAAAUGCAUGCAUGGAUGCGUCAUGAAUAAUUCACCAAUGUACAUUCAAAAAUUAGCAUAACAAGGUAAGUAAAAGGGAAANNNNNNNNNNNNNNNNNNNNNNNNNNNNNNNNNNNNNNNNNNNNNNNNNNNNNNNNNNNNNNNNNNNNNNNNNNNNNNNNNNNNNNNNNNNNNNNNNNNNNNNNNNNNNNNNNNNNNNNNNNNNNNNNNNNNNNNNNNNNNNNNNNNNNNNNNNNNNNNNNNNNNNNNNNNNNNNNNNNNNNNNNNNNNNNNNNNNNNNNNNNNNNNNNNNNNNNNNNNNNNNNNNNNNNNNNNNNNNNNNNNNNNNNNNNNNNNNNNNNNNNNNNNNNNNNNNNNNNNNNNNNNNNNNNNNNNNNNNNNNNNNNNNNNNNNNNNNNNNNNNNNNNNNNNNNNNNNNNNNNNNNNNNNNNNNNNNNNNNNNNNNNNNNNNNNNNNNNNNNNNNNNNNNNNNNNNNNNNNNNNNNNNNNNNNNNNNNNNNNNNNNNNNNNNNNNNNNNNNNNNNNNNNNNNNNNNNNNNNNNNNNNNNNNNNNNNNNNNNNNNNNNNNNNNNNNNNNNNNNNNNNNNNNNNNNNNNNNNNNNNNNNNNNNNNNNNNNNNNNNNNNNNNNNNNNNNNNNNNNNNNNNGUCGGGGCGACAACACAGAAAGGGCUUUAACAGAAAGUAAAAUACAACAAUACCACAGUCGGACGUCUGAGCAACAUCGCAGAAAGGGCUUUAAAGGAAAAUAGAAUACAACAAUGCCACAGUCGGACGUCUGAGCGACAUCGCAGAAAGGGCUUUUAUUCACAAGUAAAUAUACUCAUAAUAAACAUUUAAUUCAUAAGAAUAAAUGGGUUAGUCCAUCCACAGGAAUAAUCAUUUAACCGGAAUUAGCACUCAUGCGAAUCACCGGAGUCUCUGCCAUCAAAACUGACAUUUUGAUUACGAUAAGAUAAUACGAAUUUGGACAUGGAAUAGAUGAUUUGGAGGAAUAUAUGACUCUGCAGAGUUUGUACAAAAUUUUCCCACAGCCAACGGAUUUCCGUAGUCACGAAGGACUAGUUCCUUUUAUGGUAUUUCGGAAGAAAACACAGCUAACCAGUACACACCCAUCCUACCUCUCGAUGCUAGGAAUCACCCUAGACAUCGUCCAAGAAAAACUUUUGAGACGGGGAGAUCAUAAUCUCGAAUAGCAUGGGAUCAAAUUUAUAUACGCGCGCUCUAAGGGGUGCCCCCCUCUCGGUCCCAACCGGAAACACCCAUGCCCCCUGACCGGAUGACUGGCUUUAAUCCAGGGCCAUGGAACCAUCAUCACGGCCUCUCCUUUUGGUGUGUACCAGAAAAGCGGUUUGCAACUUACUAAACCAUAUUCCUUGCGGAAAACAUGUGGUAGUACAGGGAAGGAAAUGAGAGGAACUGGACCAAUACGGUUUGACACUGAAGUCACAUAGUCUGGCAUAAGACUGGCAUGCUACAACACUGCCAUCUCACCCAUCCUCAUGCCAACACAUGGCCAUUCAUACUCACAUCCAUCCACUUAUGGAUCAUCGAACUCACUUACCUCAUUAUCGCAUAAAAUAACGUUCAUCGAUAUGCUUCUCAACAUGCCAUAAAACUAACUAAAUGCAAAACAUGCCAAGACACUCAUCAUAUCAAAAGUUCAAACAUGCUUGCCUGGUUCAGAGUAGUCGGAGCCUAGCUCGGUGAAGUUCGCGGCUCCGUCACCUCCUUCGGUAUCUAUGGUAUAAAGAAAAUACGUGCGCUGUCGUAAAUACCAAGGGGUGCACAAAAAGUAUACCAAAUAUUUUUCAAAUAAAUCUGAUAAAAACUAGACAAAAUUUUAAAGAGAACAGAAAAAGAAUCAAUCAAAAAUACUUUUCUGUUUAAAAGUUAUAAGGGUUUUUGCCCAGGGACUCAUCUGUAUUGAAACAGAAAGUUUCCAGGGGCUAGCUUAUAAAAACAGAAACGCUUCGGCAGAAACUACGCCAGCCCCAAGGGAAAACGUACUUUGCCCGAAGGCGCUUCCAGAAAACGUUUCAAUAGAGAGAGCAGAGAGGCUGACGGUGGGGUCCCACUCGUCAGGUUUAAACUUCAAAAAGGGGGGGGAACGAAGCUCGUCGGCGCCCAAGAGCCGCGGUGGUCGCCGACGGCGAUCCACGGCGAGGCAGGGGGAUCGGAGGGUACCUCCAUACUCAGGGCGCCAUUCCGCGUCGGUUGGUGGUGGUGGUGGUGCUCGCCGGCGAGUACCACGUCGACGGCGAGCUUUGCUCCGGCGAACGGCGGCUCGGGUGGUCGAGGGACUCGUCGGAGAGGGCUGCAGAGGUCAAAUUGAAGAGGGGGUUAGGCUCCUGGUAGCUAGAGAGGGUAACGGACGGGGUUUGGGCGCCGGAGAUGGCCUCACCGGAGCGAAUCGUGGUGGAGGCCGAGGCGGAUCGGGGCGGCCGGAGAUGGGGGAGGAGACCUCCUUGAGGUCCUCCUAGUGGCCUGGUGUGGCGUUGGUGAGGAGUGGUGAUGCUGCGUGCACGAGGGUGAGCUCGGGGGCCCUUUUUAUAGGCGGCCCGAGGCGGUUGCCAUGAACGGGGAUCUCUAGCGAGUGAUUACGGCGGUGCCGGGGAUGUGCAGUGGGAUUAGGGGCUUGGGCUUCGUCGUUGAGGUCCACCGGUCCCAUUUAGGUGCUAAACGGGCUGGGAUUUGGUGUUAUGGGCGAGCUCGAUGGAACGGGGGUGGCGCGGCCCGUCGGCGGCAGGGAGCACGUUCCGUGCUUGCCGGGCCACGGCGACGGUGCCACGGGCGUGCGCUGGCACGACAGGGACAUGCGGAGAGACAAGGGGCUUUGGGCGGCGCUGAACGGCGUUCUGCCGUGGUGUGCCUUCUGUCGGCCGCCACGGGAGGUCCCGACGCCGCAGAAGACGCCGGCGAGGGCGGGCCAGCGCGCCACCGACGCCAGGAAGGCUCCAUGCACGCGUGUGAAGCUCCGGACAAGAGGGAGGGGCUACGAGCAUCGAGCCAAGCGCACUGUCUACGCGUGAUAGAAACUGACAGACGAAAACGACACUGAAACUGAAUUUUUCUGAAUUUUGAACAGCAGCAGUGCAUGCAAGGUGUUCGACAGAAUGAAUUUGGCCUCUGGUGAUUUUUCCUUGAGCUGAUUUUUGGUGGAGUGGCUUCUCAUUGCUCAAGUAGGCUGCCUGAAUUUUGGUGGAAUUUUUGGAGGAGUGUAGAUAAGAAUUUCAUCAAAUUUGGCAAAUCUGGUCCAAACUUGCAGAGACUGAAUUUUGAAAAAUUUGAAAAGAGGAGGAGUGGAUCAGGAUGGUUCUGAGUUGUGGGUACAAAGGACUAACCAGGAGAGUUGGUUUGAGGUCAAAACUCAAAUGCAAAAGGGUACUUGCUUUGAAAAUCACUCAGGCUCCAAAUAAUUUUCAGAAUUGAUUUGAGAGGAAAAAUAAUUAGAAUAAAAUCCAAAACUUGCUUGGAUUAGUUGGGACAGAGAACUUAGGUUGAUCACAAGGAGUAGGGGAGGUUUUGGAGGGGUUUUAUCACAUGGGCAAAAAUGCAAAGUCAUGGGUGGUUUUCAAGAUAUGAAAAUCCCAAGUUUUUCAUAGAGUUUCAUUUUAAAAGAAAAAGAUUAAACUCCCAAAAUAAAUUUGAGAGAGAACCAACAGAGAAGAAGUUUCAAAAGAUCAAACACCAAAGUUUGAAAAAAUAAAAUCCUUGCCAAGCAAAGGAAGUUUUUAAGAGGAAGGUUUUCUGAAAGAAAAAUUUAAAUGGCCUCUUUUCAAAGAAAACCACAAGGUUUUUGAUAAAAAAACAAAUUAAAAUUUUGGAGUGUCACACGCCGGCCCGCGCAGUGUCCUUGUUUCCUCUUUGGUGCAAAGGGGGCAAGCACAUGCGUGGAGUACCGAGGCAUUAGGCAAAGGUUGCCAUUUCAGCGCAACGAGACCAAGUCCUGCAGGGCGGCAGGAUGGAGGUCACUGUGGAGCCCAAGGCGGCGUCAUCACCAGUGCCUUUGGCAGUCGAGGACCAACUUUAGUCAUGAUAACUUGUACUAGAUGUUCCCCUUCAAAAUGGCCAUUGUUGGCGACCUUCCCGCUCAAUAUUUGGGAAGAGGCCCAGGGCCUCUAUAUAUAGGGCUAGCCACCAUAGUAGAGGGCAUCUCAUCGUGUGCUCAUUAGAUCGAUAGGCGACCGAACUCACGCAAGCUGUUCAUCGCACCAGCUCAAGAACACCUCUCGCGAGGCUGUUUGUCCUUUGUACUAUUCAUCAUCAGCCCCUGAGGCAAUCCACCACACCACACACUGGAGUAGGGUAUUACACCACAAUGGUGGCCCGAACUAGUAUAAAUCUUAUGUCCCUCGUGUUGUUCAUCGUUUUAGCUUAGAUUCUUGCGAGGCGAUCGGACGUAGAGUGGUAGGGGGAAGAUCUUCGCGCGCACCCUAGAGUUCGAACCUCAAGGGUCUGCCGGAACCCGGAAUCCGACAUCCAUGAAUAGUAUGGCCCAUGAUUUGUGAAAUGAUGAUACGCCUCGUAGAAGCCCAUGGAUCCUAUGGCCCGUAUAAGGCCCAUGGAUCGUACGACCGGUAGAGGGCCCAUGGAUCGUACGGCCCGUAGAAGGCCCAUGGACCUACGACCCGUAGAAGGCCCAUGGAUCCUAUGGCCCGUAUAGAAGGCCAAUGGAUCCUAUGGCCCGUAGAAGGCCCAUGGAUCAUACGGCCCAUAGGAGGGCCAUGGUUACAACAGUCCGUGUGUUGCCAUGAUUAUGUUGGCCUAGUUACCAAAAAUAGGCUAUUGUGGCCACUAGAAAAACACAGAAAAAGAACUGGAAUGACUACAAGCAAACAACUAAACAAGACAAUAAGGAAAUAAAUAAGCAAGCAAUUAACGCUAGCCUAUUACCGCUAUUACACAUAUUACAUCCACUAGGCAUCAAAGUUCGCCACCAGUGCAAAUAUAGGGAAUAAAGUAGCAUAUUACAUACACUGGCCGUCAAAAUUGGCCACCAGUGCAAAGAAAUGUGGCAUCAAAACAAGAGCAUAACUGAAACAACUUCAGAAGAGCUCAAGAAACGUCAUCCUAGGUAUCCACCAUGCUGGCAAUAAGCUUAGCAAGCUUAUUAGCUUUGUUCUGUUUGGCGCUAAAAUCCUCCAACACUUGCUAUUGCACCAGAAAGUAUGCAUCUGAAUGCUCCAGGGACUUCCGUAGUCCUUCCGCUUCUUGUCGCAGCACAGCUGAUCGAUGUCUUUCAGCUUGUAGUUGAGACUCAAGAAACCAAACUGAUUCAGACAGUGAGUUUGAAUAGCUUGUGCAAGCAGUAGUGGCUAGUAACUCAAACACUAAACCAAGACAGGACUUUGGGGUUGUCUCACUGUCUUCAAGAUAGUAUUCCUUAGCUGUUUUAUCAGCUUUGUUGGAGACCAACAAGGAUGUGUCACUAUCCUGAACCUUAUCUGCAUUACUUGCUUUACCAUUGCUUAAUAAGGCACUCUUCCCUAAUAUUCUGUCAGCAUUCUAAAAGAAGAAACAAGCAGACACAUAACAAGUUUAGCAUGUACUAGUAUAUGAAACUCAUUUUGGUGAACCAGUUCAUUAGUAAGGUGGACAGGAUUAAAAUACCAAGUCUUCUAUUUCCAAGUACUAGUACGUAAUAAAAGCAUCAAACAAACAUAUAUCUAUGUCCUAUGGUCACUGCAUUGUCUUGCCAAAUCAAAAUAGAGACACUGUUCAAAUCAUAUCAGUUCAAGACAAAGCAGCAGUGAAAGAAUACAAAGCGUGGGAAACUACACGGCACAACAAGAUUUCAGAUGGGUACCAUGGGUCUACAUGCACAACAACACUAUUGGCUCUGUUGUGAUGCUAGUAAUGUGAUAUGAGAAGUAAACUGUAUACACAAUUGAAAUAGAAAUCAACAGAGCUAUUGAUAAGAGCAAACCUGUUAAAGAAACAUGUGUUAACAUACCUGUUGUGCCAUUGAAGUUUCGAUUGGAUCCUUCAAUUUAAAAAUAAGUUUGUAUGAGUAAAUCAGUGAUACAAGAGCAAAGCAGUAUGCACGAUAGCAAUCAUAGUUAAGGCGCGCCUAAGUGAGCGCUUAAGCGCGCCUAGGCUCUAGGCGUUGGCAAAACGCAUUGCGCAUAACUAUGCUUAAUCUGUGCAUAACUGCGCAUUAGCAUGUGCUUUGGUCAGUAAAGCGCAAGGCGGUGGCAAAACGCACAAUUAACGCCUAGCGUUUUUUCGAACUAUGAUAGCAAUGGAAUCUUAAAUUAGAACAAUUGUUCUUCAGGUUUAGGCACUUGUUCUACAUGAACAGAGUACAGUAAGACGCAAGAAUAUAGUACUUAAAAAUAGAAAAUGAGCUCAUAGACCUUACCACAUUCUUGGUUCAGGACCAGUACAGAACAAGGCGUUCCCAGUCAUCAUCUAGUAAAUGUGUCUCAGGAGAAUGUAAGGGAAUUUGAUGAGUUUCUUUGCCGGUGAAGUACAUUUUAUUCAGGUAAUUCUGAUACUGCCACCAAGCAUUCUUGAAGAGAGCAGAGGUAUUAGCACAGGUUACCUCAUCCCGAGGGUCCAAAUUGGUCCUUCUCUACAGAGAAAAAUGGGAAAUUUUGCUGUAGUACAACCAUCAUGGAGGUAGGAUGUAUGGGACAAAGCAAAGUAAUUGCCAUGAAUAACAUUAUAUACACAUAACUCCUGGAAAAACACCUGCAACUGGCAUUUUCCUUCAUCUUCAAUAUAAUAUUUCCAAGAUGGGAAGAUACACACAUACGAUUUAACAACAUCAAAUGUGAUAGAUGCUAAACUACGACUAGCUAGUUGUGCUUCCUCCACAGGAAUAGGCGUACUAACUGUUGGAGUUGGGGUUCGCCAUGGUAGUACUGGCCCUUUGGGCACUGGAGCUGCCUUACUAACUGCUCUUGUUUGGGAGCUCUAUGGUGGAGAUGGUGUUGUCUCAAUAGGAACUGGGUUACUAUCUGCUGGGGUUGGGGUUAGAUUGGGUGAAGUUGGUUCUCUGUCCAUCACAGUAGGGGUACAAUCUGCGAGAGUUUGGGUUAUGUGUGCUAGGGCUGGUUCUUGUGCAUGUACAACCAGGGUGCUAUCUCCACCAAGAGGUCGCACUGUUUUAUUUGAAGACCGUUUUUUAGUCUGCUAGAUACUGGUAUCACCCGAUCCAAUUCAAAUGGCUGAUAAACAGGAAACAUAGUUGAAUGUACAGACAUUGUAUGAGAUAGUGUAGAAAAAAGAGGGCAUGAAAUAGUUGACAUGUAUAUUGUUUAACUAGAACGGAUACCAUGACAUAAUUUCACAUAUAUUAUGUCUAUCUAAACUGGAUAGCAUAGCAUAACAUAAUUCAAAUAUAUGAUGAAUAACUAAACAGGAUCACAUGACAUAAUUCACCUACAUGUUAUCUAAGUAAUCAGGAUUACAUCAUUUAAUUCACAUAUGUGAUUUAUAUGCUAAAUAGAGGGCAUUCGAUAUGAUGUCUGAACUAAGAACAUGGUGUUGAAUAUUGUGUAUAUGAUGUCUAGCUGUCAGGACCCCGACUCAAAGCCACACCGAUCUAGCAUGUAACACCUCAUAUCACUUUGCGGCCUCACGCAUGGUAUUCCCACGGGUGUCAGCUUACCUUGCCCGGGACCAUUUGUGCCUUUUGGCACACGUAUAUGAUAGUGUCGCUAGCAUCCAUAUGACAAGGAGCCCAGGCAGACAUGGCUAGUCGUGAACCCAAAGUGGCACUAACUUACAGGGACAGACAUACAUGACCCUGCAACGAACGUGUCGGUCAUCAACGGGUGAAUCCAGGCUGUAGUAGCUGGGCUAGCAAGACUCCGGUAAACUGGGCUGUAGCAGGCUAAUAGGACUCCGGUAGACACUGUGUGACAUUUCCCCAAAGGGACAAACACAGGAACGAAGAAGGACACAAGCUGGCCAGCCUAAGUGUUCCAGAGCAGUAGCAAGCUACCAGGGCUCAAUGGAAGCACUAGGAGACAUUUCCCGGUAAAAGAGGCUACCAAGGAUAAACAACUAGAUGGUCAGAUCCCACACAUACCAACCAUUUCAAUAACAUACACACAAUAUGCUCGACAUGUGCAAAUACAACAUGGCAUCACAACAUGACUCUACAACUCAAGUAUUUUAUUCAAUAGGCUCCGAGGAGCGAGAUAUUACAAACAUGGGUCUCAUGACCCAACAUUCAGAGCAUACAAGUCAAAGAACAUGCGGAAGCUUAACAUGUCUGAGUACAGACAUCUACAAAUGAAAAAGGCUGAGAAGCCCGACUAACUACUAGAUCCUGCCGAGGGCUCAAGAUCGUAGCUCAGGUAACAAGCUAAACAUCGAAGUUCACGCAGAACUACUAGUGAGACUGAAGUCUCUCUGCAAAUACAUAAAAUAGGCAAACGUGAGUACAGAUGUACCCAACAAGACUUACAUCAGAACUAACUACAUAUGCAUCAUUAUCAACAAAGGGGAUGGUGGGUUUAAUUGCAGCAAGCCAGCUUUGACUCGGUGGUUAUCCUGAACUACAACUGCAAGUAACUCUUUUGAGGUGGCGCACACGAGUCCACAUAUUCACCAUCUCAAUACACCACUAUGGAUCCGCUCCCGUCUCCCUACAAGAACGACAUCCGUAGCACUCACGCUUAUCUUGCGCAUUUUAGAGUAUCCACUUCAAGUUAUUUAUGAACUGUACAGGCAACCCAGAAGUCCUUUACCACGGACACGGCUAUUCAAACAGAUGAUGUUAACCCUGCAGGGGUGUACUUCUUCACACACGCUCUCGCCACUUACCGCCAUGUACACGUCAUGUAUCUCGGCAACCUUCAAGCGGAAGCCUGGCGAGGGUGUCGGCCACGACAUGACUAACCACACAAGUCUCUUGUCCAGGUUUAUCGCCUAUUUGGGUUCCAUCCGCAAGGAGAUCCGGCCGGGGUGUCGCUCACGGCCCAAAACGAUGUGUGCAGGGUUCCCAAGCCCACCAUCCGGGUGCCACUUGGUACACUGGGCCACUGUGCCUAGUUUGUCCCAAGCCCACCUGUACCGGGUGCCACUUGGUAGACUACUAGCACUACCUACAAACACCAGAAACUAGUUGCAACUCCUGGACAGAGAUCAGGCUGAUUAAUAAGUCGAGAGGGGUCGAGUUACCGGAACCCAAUGUGUGGUAGUAGAUGUUCAUGGAUCACAAACACAGAACUCAGUUCCUGAGGACGGUUUCAAUAAGACAACCCACCAUGUACUACUACAUGGCCUCUCACUGCUACCAUUACCAAAUCGUGUUCACACACUUAGCUCUCAACAGUAGGACAUGUUCACAACUUUCCAAUUCAUCCCCGAUGAAUCAGACCUGACACAACUCUAAGCAAUAGCAGGCAUGACAAACAAGCAUGAAUGAGUAGGCAUAUCAGGGCUCAAACAACUCCUACUCAUGCUAGUGGGUUUCAUCUAUUUACUGUGGCAAUGACAGGUCAUGCGGAGGAAAGGUGUUCAACCACCGCAGCAUGUAACAGUUGAAUCGUUGUUGUCCUAAUGCAGUAAAAGAGAGCAGGAGCGAGAGAGUGGGAUUGUAUCGGAAUGAACAAGGGGGUUUUGCUUGCUUGGCACUUCUGAAGAUAGUAUAGCUCUUCAUCGGUGUCAUAGAACUCAUCGUCGGUACGUCGUCUACUGAGAGGGGACAAACACCGGCAACAGAGAAGGAACACAAUCAAUGCAAUGCAACAAUAUGAUUCAUGAGUGUGACAUGGAAAUAUGUUGUGGUUUGAGCUAAUGCAACUAGCAACAAGAUUAAAUGAAGUUGGUUUGAAUCCAAGAUUCAAAUUCAAACUCCAUAUGUGGAUAUUUAAAUGCCAUUUAUAUGAUUUGUGCUAAACAGCAGCUAUAAGUUGUUCUAACAUGCAUGAAAAUGGUACAGAUGGAUAGAUUGGAUUUUUUGAUAAUUUUUAAUAUAUAAAUUAUUUCAUUUGGAGUUACAGAUUAAUUUAUAUGAUUUUUAGAAGUUUUAGCUAAUUUUUGGAAUUUUCUGAAUUAUAACUAAUCUAGAAAAUGACUUAUUGCGUCAGCAUAAUGUCAGCAUGACGUAAGCGAGUCAACGGGGCACGGGCCAGGUCAGACUGACCAGUGGGGUCCACUAGUCAGUGACCCAGUGCUGGCUAGUGUCGCUGACAGGUGGGGUCGGGUCAACAGCCACGUCAGCAAGUCAGCACUGACGUAUGGGGCCGGUCAACAGGUGACGUGGCCAUAGUCAAACCGACACGUGGGUCUUCUGUGGUUAGAUUAAUUUAACCAGGGGUUAUAUCUAUGGUUAAAUAAAAGGUGGGGUCGGGCUGUCAGUGAAACAUGCGCUAAAUAACUGCCUCAUUAGUGGCUAAUGAUGAUGCCACGUCAUCAUCGCCGGAGUCAGGCCGGUGAGGACCAAAUCGAUGGUGGAUGACCACCAUGCGCUCGAUACGGAGCACCAAAUCGCAUGCGAUUUGCGGCAUUGGGUUGCUGGUCUUGUGUUCCAUGGAAUCUUAGUGUAGAUGGACCAAGAGGUCGCCGGAAUAGCCGACGGCGACGAGGUUUGGUGGCUGCCGGAGUUUGGGAAACGACGGGAGCGGCGCUACAAGGCACGGCAGGACGAGAGGCUGGGUGUUCCGGGCUUCUAGAAGUGUUCUAAGCAUGAUGACGCAAACGGACACGGGCCUCAGCAGCUAAAACGAGGACGACAACAUGGCCAGCAGCGAGGAGCUAUCGGCUCCGGUGAGAAUGAGGGCUACAUGGCGCAAACGAGGCGGGGAAGAGAGGGGUUUGGAGCAGAAGCUCAUAGCGGUCACGUAGAAAAGCUCAGUGGGCUCGGGGAAGGUCGGACGACGUUGGGGCAUUGCCGGCGAUCUCGGAGGCCGGAGUUGAAGACGACGGUGGUGGCGGCGUUCCCAGGCACCCGGCGUUGUGUGACUCAUUGGAGAGGAUGAGUACGUCGUCGUAGAGCUCAGGGCCAUGUCUAGGGGCGUAGGGGAGGCCGGUGGCUAUGCGAGCGGUGGACGGCGGCGACGGGGCCGUUCAGGUGCGUGUGAGUGAGAGAGCAGAGGAGGGGAGGAGCAUGACGGAGAUGCCGAGGGGGUUCCAGGGGUUGCGUGGCUUCAUCCAGAGAGGCCCAGGGCUAAGCGGCAAGCAGGAGGUGGCGAGGCGCGUGCUCGCGCGCGUCGGCCACGCGCGCUAUCCUCCUAGCGCGGUGGAGAAGACGACUGGCAUGCGCCACUGGGCUGGGCCGGCGCAGUGCCAGGCCAGGUAGGUGGCCCAGGUGACUCCUUCCCUCUCUCUCUUUUCUAUUUCUUUCUGUUUCCUAUUUAUUCCGUUUUGUUUCGAUUUGGCAAAAAUACUAAACCAUUUUUAAAACUCCUGAAAAUAUUUGUGGGCACUGUUGAAAUUAUUCCCAACAGCCCGCAACCAGUUUCAGAAUUAUGAGAGCAUUUAAAAUAUUUAUAGGAUUUAAAUGCCCCAAUUCAAAUACAAUAUGAGUUAAUUCAAAAAUCCAGAAUGUCCUAGAAAUAUGUGCACCAUUUUUGGAAGAGGUUUUUAGCCAAUUCAAAAAUGAUGAACUUUUCUGCAGGCAUUUUGGGUUCAUUGAAAAUAUUUUUAUUUGAACCUAGUUGAAUUCAUUUGGUGCUAGGGUUUGAACAUCCCCAAUUCAAAUUAAAUAGAAUUUAAACAUGAUGCAACAACCAACUAGUCCAAGUGCAUAGCAAGGCUAGGGACGUGACAACUCACCCCCACUAAACAAGAAUCUCGUCCCAAGAUUCAAGCGUAGGGUAAGAGGACAAACGGGACAAAAACUAACACAAUUUUCAUGAUCCAAUUGCUCUUCUCGAAGAUGUUGAUUCAUUGCAUCAUCUUGAUCUUGACAUCUUGCUUUGAGAACUCCAUUCAACAUGACCACGAGAAGAAAUGAAAACUCUAGAAGAAUUGAUCUUCUCGAGGAUCGAGCAAGUGACGAUCAACUCAUAGAAUGAGGCAUAGAACACCUCUUGAGCCGAGAUGUUCAAACACACUUCGGGAGGGAUGGAAGAACAGAUGAUGGGGGUUCAAUUUGGUAGGCAACAAUUCCACUCUUGAGGAGAUGGUGAAUGGUUUCAAGAUAGCGAUGAAAUAAUUUCCAUGAUUCCAUAACGCGGCACCUUAGACAAGGUUACUCGUAGAAUUAUUCCCUUAAGUGGAAAAAAGAAUUACUUUUGAUACCUAGAUCAUUGAAACUCUUUAUACCAGCCUAAGGCAAAUCACAAUUGAUCGUUUGAAGGAAUUCAAAAGAAUGGCAUACUCAAUUUGGAAAGGAAACUAGAGUUAUAAGACAACUCGGCAAACGGAAGACACAUUCCAAUUGAUACCGGGGAUAUAACAUAGUGCCUGAGCGUGCUCUCAAGAACUUGAGCAUUUCCAUAUUCACCAUGGUCUUACCAACAUCCGCGUCGAGGAUCCUGGCAACACAUCAUACUACCAUGAUGAAUAGUGAUGGACGAUGCAGAUGCAAAGGAAGACAACACCUUCUCAGAUUUUACCUUAGCAAUGCCAAGGCCACAAAAUCUUGAUAAUUGACCAAGAGUCAUUUAGCACUACGCUUCCAAUGUUCUCCUCGAUGUGCUAGCGUAUCCCAUUUAUAGAUAUGAUUUAAUAUCUAGAACAUCAAGUAAAAGGUCGGACUUCGGGAACACAAAAAUCCAUAAGGAACAACUACUGGAGUAAAUCCUACAAAAUCCUUAUGGGGAGGUGGCCAACUUCUUCUAUCGAGAUACUACAAUCAUAGGUCUUCUGGCUGGGUGUGUUGGCCAAUACAUCCACUUUACUAGGUUACAGAUAGACCAAUAUUACAAUUCUUGGGACAUGUUCCAACCAUCAUACCUGCCUGAGAUUAAGAUCUGGUUGGUGUCAGGAUAUUCCAGACUCAUCAAGUCUAGAAAGAAAAAUGAAAGUUUGCAACACAAAUUGAUGAGAUGGUGUUGCGAGAUUCUUGGGAAAUGGACUACGGUAGUAAGCUCCAGAACAUGAGCUGGUUCUGCUACAACAUGUGCACACGUUGUCCGAGACAAGCAUGACCACAUAGUAGUCUUAUAAUAAAACACUACUGAGGGAGUCCUGGACUAGGGGGUGUCCGGAUAGCCGAACUAUCAUCAUCGGCCGGACUCCAAGACUAUGAAGAUACAAGAUUGAAGACUUUGUCCCAUGUCCAAAUGGGACUUUCCUUGGCGUGGAAGGCAAGCUUGGCGAUAUGGAUAUGUAGAUCUCCUACCAUUGUAACCAACUCUGUGUAACCCUAGCCAUCUCUGGUGUCUAUAUAAACCAGAUGGUUUUAGUCCGUAGGACAAUAACAACAAUCAUACCAUAGGCUAGCUUCUAGGGUUUAGCCUCCUUGAUCUCGUGGUAGAUCUACUCUUGUAACAUCCACAUCAUCAAUAUCAAUCAAGCAGGAUGUAGGGUUUUACCUCCAUCAAGAGGGCCCGAACCUGGGUAAAACAUCGUGUCCCUUGUCUCUUGUUACCAUCCGCCUAGACGCACAGUUCGGGACCCCCUACCCGAGAUCCGCCGGUUUUGACACCGACGUUGGUGCUUUCAUUGAGAGUUCCUCUGUGUCGUCACCGAUAGGCUCGAUGGCUCCUUCGAUCAUCAACAACGACGCGGUCCAGGGUGAGACUUUCUCCCCGGAUAGAUCUUCGUAUUCGGCGGCUUUGCACUGCGGGCCAAUUCGGUUGGCCAUCUGGAGCAGAUCGAAAGCUACGCCCUGGCCGUCAGGUAAGAUUUGGAAGUCUUAACUUCAUGGCUAACAUCCGCGGAGACUUGAUCUUCAACGGAUGAUAAGCACAUUUCAUAUAUACAAUUUUGGCAUAGAAAUAUAUUAUUUAUUGAGAUAUGACCAUUAAUUCUUGCUGUGAAAUAUUGAAUAUUUGCAUGAAAAUCAUAUAAAGUAUCAUUUACUAGUCUUUGGUCUAUUUUGCAGAAAUGUGCGCAAAGGCACUAUAAAUCUUCAAGAUCCGGACUAAGUGGCUAAGAGAACGAAGAAGAGGAGGAAGAAUGGACCCGACCGUGAAGAAAAGAAGUAACCAGAGGGGCCAAGCUAAAGUUGGAGGGAUCAUCUUGUGAAGAAAGAAUAGAAGUGGAAGGGCAAAAGAGCAAAAGUGGCAGAUCAGAGGAGGGGGAUCAAAUCCCUACCGCAGCCUCGAUCCCCUUCGGGCCUGGCUACAUCUCAUCUCUCUCCCUCUCCCCUUCUUCUCCAUCACCGGCCGCCGCCACGGCCAGGCCGGCAUGGUGGUGAGCCAUUCACCCAGCGCCACCAUCUCCUUCUCCUCCCCGAAGCCAUCCAUCUCCACCGUCCGUGCCCAGCGCCAACCAGCACCGCCUCCAUCCAUCACCCAGCGCCACCACUACUCCUCCUACCUCCAGUGCCUACAUCCACCACACCAGCCGCUCCCUCACGCGCCGCAUCAGACACUCCGGCGCGAGUGUCUGGUCACCCGCGUGAGUGCGCCACCCAACUCCUUCGCCUCGGAUCUAUCUCACAGACCACCAGUGUGCCACCACCAUCGCCAACUCCCUCUUCCUUCUUCUGCUCUCUGCCUGCUGCUGCUUCUUCUUCCCACGCCCCUGCUGCUGCUUGCUCUCUCAAUCUCUGCUACUACUUCUCCAUCUCUUGCUGCUACUUCUUCUCUGAACCUCAUUUCUUCUCCUUGCAUCCCCUUGUUGCUGCUCCAUUCCCAAACUGCUGCUACCUAUUCUUCUUCUUCUCUGAACCUUUGUCCUUCCCCUCGUUGCUGCUCCUCACUUGCGCUAGCUGCUCCUGUUCCCUACGCCUCUGCUACUGUUUCUUGCUUCUCUUCUGAACCUGAAGCUCUCUCUCUCUCUUAUCUCAAACUGCUAUAAACUUUAGAAGUGUAAUGUUCAGAAUUUUGUAAUGUUCAGGGUUGUGGAAUGUUCAGACUUGACAAGUUCUAGCAACUCAUUAUUUGUUCAGUUUAGUACCUGUAUAAUAAAGUACUUGUUAUGUUGGACCUGGCUAGUUGAGGCCUUGUUAAUUUGGGUGAUAAUUGAUCUAUUAGAAUGUGCUUCUGUGUAUUACUAUUCUGCUAGUAUAUGUGCGUGUUCACCUUGUGUACUAAUCCCCUUUCCUAGUUAUCUUCCAGUACUUGUCAACUUUGUGUGUGUUUGAUUUUCAGUCCAUGUGUUAGCUCAAGUACCUGUGCCAUAUAAAUAUGUGUGUGUGCUUGUGAUUUAAAUAAUCUGUUUUUUGUUCAGUAAUUCAUACGCUUGCUAGAUAUAUAUGGUCAUGCCUUUUGAAUUCCCUUGUCACUGAUGUUAGCCUUUUAGUUUCUAUAAUAAUAUGAAAAUACCAAAAAGACAGAGUAAAGAUAAUCUUCAUCUCCCUUUGCUUCUGUCAUUUUCUUUGUUGAUGAUCCUUGUUAGUGUUAGGUUUAUUUUCUGUUUUCAUCAUUCAAUUGGGUCACCUAGCUUUAGUUGAACGUAGUUGCCGUCGCCUAGUCCCUGUGGAGAACACGACAUUCGUAGUUUGGGGCGUAAAAACCCCGCUAUAUUACAAUUGAUUAUUUUGGCGCCGUUGCCGGGGACUAGCGUCGAGCGAUUGUGCUAGGCUAUAGACUAGGUUUUUCUUGUUUUCAUCUUGUGCCAUAUAUUUGUGAUAUUUCUCAAGCCACUAACCCCUGUUCUAGUUAGUAUCUUUUUGUCUUCUUUUCCUUUUUGCAGGUUGGAUUAUCCUCUCGGAAAUGGCAUUCUAUUCAGAUCAUCAUGCUUAUGCGAGCAACACUACAAACAGCACAGAAACUAUUCAAGAACUGAUAGGUAAGAUUUCCCAUCGAUUAGAUGAUUUAGCUCGGCAGUGAGAAGUAGUUUUAGAGGAUAGGCCUAGUUCUUACUAUCCUUAUUCUAAAGGCCAUCCUUAUGUUGCUCCUACUUGCCAUAUUUGUGGAUUUCAGGGCCAUUCGCCCGCUGAAUGUCAGCGUGGCUACUCUCACACUCCGGAUUGUUUUGGCAUGAGCUUCGCUCAAGAGCAUAGCUCAUACCAAAACAAUUACUCACAUGGGUGGCCUGAAAUCCCGAAUAUGUCAUAUAGGAGCAACAACCCUGAGAUCUCACAGUUUGGUUCUAGUAAUCAUAUGCAGGGAUUUAGGUACAAUGAGGAGAGCCACAACUAUGCACCACAACAAUUCCAUUCAGCUCCUACUCAUAUACCACAGCACCAAGAGAUGUGUCCAAUGGAGUUAAAUGGUCCUCCAUUUGGUCAACCAACAACUCCAGCACCUGUUGUGCAAUCUCAUGUGCAAGUGCCCACACAAGAUGAGUUCGAUGACAUAGACAAGCUCACACUUUUGAGUCUCGAGUUCACUUGGAGUGCCGAGGAUGAUCCUAUUAGGAAGGUUAUACUAGAGGAAAUGAAGAAGAUUAAGAGUGGAAAGGAGCUAGUGGAUGAAGUAAGGAAGAUUGAGAAGAACAUCAACGCUGGUAGUACUAUCUCAUCUCUCCUUGAGCUGAGUGCUGCUGAGAUUUCUAGUCAUACAUGUGAGAUUCCAACACCUUCACAUUUCGUUGAGCAAGAUAGCAAGUGCCUUGAGCAAGAAAUACCUCAGAUUGAAGAAGAUGAACUAGAAGACAAGGAACAAGAUGGUCAAGAGCUGCAAUUCCCAAGUGAUCAAGUUGAAGACUCAUCAUCUACUACUCCUGAAGAAGUACAAGAAGCUGCUGUAGAUGAAGAUGAAGAACCUGAGAUUCAUUGGACUAUUAUCAUACAUGAGCAUGAUGUGUCAGGUUUACCCAAUCCUCUUGAUGACAUGAGUCCUUAUGAUUUAUUUGCUUCUACCUUGCAUUACAUGAUGCCAUCACUUAAGAUUUAUUUGAAAAAUCAUUUACUUGGAUAUGAUGAUACAUACACUGUUGGUGGCAUUGCUCUCAUUUGUGAUGAUCACAACUACUUUCCUCAUGCUAGUCUUGAGCUUAAUGAUAAAUGUCAUCCUCGUGUGAGUAUUGACCAUGCUGAUUUCUGCCAUCCUAAACAUGUGCUUUAUAGUUAUGCUUAUAUAAUUGGAUAUUCCAUUGAUGACUUGGAGGGCAUCGACCGUAUCACUUGUAGUUGUUUGUGUGAGUCCUAUUUUAGGCUUUUGCUACUGCACUAUUUACUACAUGCUGACCAGGUUCGAGGUGACAUUCCUUGGGAUCCUGGUGGAGUCAGAGCAUGGCGAUGAGGAGAAGCAAUGGGGCACACAUAUGGAAGAGUGAAGCUGGAGCAUCCACGAGGAAGCAAGGGAGAAGAGCUGCAGCUGGUGAGGUGAUCGAGCGAAUGCUACAUGAUCAAAGCCCGGUGAGAUGUUUCAUGACCCAUUCUGAAUAUCAUAAAUACAUGCUAAAUUCAAUUGCUAGUUGGGUUGCUUGAGCUAGUUAUUACUUGUUGUCAAGCUGAAAUUCACCUUUGGCAUUGUGCUUGAUGUGAAUUUGUGAACUUGAUUUCUGAAUGCCUUGUAAACUAGUGAUCUACACCAUGCAUGCUUUGCUGAAAUUUGUGGAAGUUAUUAGUUUUGAGUGCUCAAAUCCCUAGUACACUAGAAAACUUGAUCAUUUUUUGCUUUUACCUUGAUACACCUAGAUCACCAUGUUUAGAUGCUGAAUUUGUGCUAAGUGUGUUCCCAUUGAGAGCAAUCACCUAACCACUAUGGAUUAGCAUGCUAUGUUCCCUGGAUCAGUAGCAUGUGAACCAGACAUGGAGAAGUGAUGAUUCCUGUUUUUGUGCUUAUGUGUUGUUCAUUUAAGAUAGGUAAUAAUGAAUAUAUAAGUCUGGCUACCUACAGUAGCAUGUCAUGUUCCCGGGAUCGGUGGCAUGUGAAAUCGGGUUAGCUUGGGCAGUAAUUAAUAAUAAUAAAAAAGUAAUUGUCGAACCAGGUGUAUACCAUGAUCUCGGGAUCGGUGGUAUGUUCCUUUGGGGAGACAAACAAAAAAAUUAAUAAAAAUUGGUUGAGCCAGGUGUAUACCAUGUUCUCGGGAUCGGUGGUAUGUUCCUUCGGUGAGACUAAUAAAAUAAUAUGUGUGUUUCUUUCAAAUUCAAUAAGUGGUUCAACCACAAAGUCAUAUUUCUGCAAAUAAGAGAUUUAGUUCCAGUUCUUUUUGUUCUCGGGAUCAUGCUCUCUUUAGGAACCAUUUGGCGCAGUCAUCAUUUAAACUUGUUGAUCCUCUUUUAUCAUUGUAAAAGUUUAAAAUGGUCAUGCUUACUAGUAUCCUACCGCUUUGAAGCACUCCUAACCAUUAAUUUUCACUAGCUAAGUCCAAAGCAUGCACUGUUUAGAGAUCUACUUCACUUGGUAUUCUCUAGUCAGCUCACUGUUCACAUUCUUGUUCUUGUCAUAUGCCUUUGCUCGAGGACAAGCAAAAGUUUAAGUGUGGGGAACUUGAUAAGCACAUUUCAUAUAUACAAUUUUGGCAUAGAAAUAUAUUAUUUAUUGAGAUAUGACCAUUAAUUCUUGCUGUGAAAUAUUGAAUAUUUGCAUGAAAAUCAUAUAAAGUAUCAUUUACUAGUCUUUGGUCUAUUUUGCAAAAAUGUGCGCAAAGGCACUAUAAAUCUUCAAGAUCCGUACUAAGUGGCUAAGAGAACGAAGAAGAGGAGGAAGAAUGGACCCGACCGUGAAGAAAAGAAGUAACCAGAGGGGCCAAGCUAAAGUUGGAGGGAUCAUCUUGUGAAGAAAGAAUAGAAGUGGAAGGGCAAAAGAGCAAAAGUGGCAGAUCAGAGGAGGGGGAUCAAAUCCCUAGCGCAGCCUCGAUCCCCUUCAGGCCUGGCUACAUCUCAUCUCUCUCCCUCUCCCCUUCUUCUCCAUCACCGGCCGCCGCCACGGCCAGGCCGGCGUGGUGGUGAGCCAUUCACCCAGCGCCACCAUCUCCUUCUCCUCCCCGAAGCCAUCCAUCUCCACCGUCCGCGCCCAGCGCCAACCAGCACCGCCUCCAUCCAUCACCCAGCGCCAACCAGCACCGCCUCCAUCCAUCACCCAGCGCCACCACUACUCCUCCUACCUCCAGUGCCUACAUCCACCACACCAGCCGCUCCCUCACGCGCCGCAUCAGACACUCCGGCGCGAGUGUCUGGUCACCCGCGUGAGUGUGCCACCCAACUCCUUCCGCCUCGGAUCCAUCUCGCAGACCACCAGUGUGCCACCACCAUCGCCAACUCCCUCUUCCUUCUUCUGCUCUCUGCCUGCUGCUGCUUCUUCUUCCCAUGCCCCUGCUGCUGCUUGCUCUCUCAAUCUCUGCUACUACUUCUCCAUCUCUUGCUGCUACUUCUUCUCUGAACCUCAUUUCUUCUCCUUGCAUCCCCUUGUUGCUGCUCCAUUCCCAAACUGCUGCUACCUAUUCUUCUUCUUCUCAGAACCUCUGUCCUUCCCCUCGUUGCUGCUCCUCACUUGCGCCAGCUGCUCCUGUUCCCUACGCCUCUGCUACUGGUUCUUGCUUCUCUUUUGAACCUGAAGCUCUCUCUCUCUCUCUUAUCUCAAACUGCUGUAAACUUUAGAAGUGUAAUGUUCAGAAUUUUGUAAUGUUUAGGGUUGUGUAAUGUUCAGACUUGACAAGUUCUGGCAACUCGUUAUUUGUUCAGUUUAGUACCUGUAUAAUAAAGUACUUGUUAUGUUGGACCUGGCUAGUUGAGGCCUUGUUAAUUUGGGUGAUAAUUGAUCUAUUAGAAUGUGCUUCUGUGUAUUACUAUUCUGCUAGUAUAUGUGCGUGUUCACCUUGUGUACUAAUCUCCUUUCCUAGUUAUCUUCCAGUACUUGUCAACUUUGUGUGUGUUUGAUUUUCAGUCCAUGUGUUAGCUCAAGUACCUGUGCCAUAUAAAUAUGUGUGUGUGCUUGUGAUUUAAAUAAUCUGUUUU
This 73954-nucleotide long non-coding RNA is filed under the name Triticum aestivum (bread wheat). RNAcentral describes it as "long non-coding RNA (TAES_LNC007292)". Lineage: Eukaryota; Viridiplantae; Streptophyta; Magnoliopsida; Poales; Poaceae. The record is from RNAcentral.